ACAUUGUCACGCCCCGCCCCGAAACCACUACCAAUUUGGCACGGUUCGGCCGCGGCGGCGUGUCACGCCCCGGGACCGGCAGAGGCCCUCCCGGUAGCGUGCCCAGACCCGCCAUAUGUCUACACAUAUAAGGCGUCUAGAAGAAAAGCGGAAGUAAAAGCAAGAGACGGAACAAAUAAGAAAAGUGAAAUAACAAGCAACUAAUGAUAUCAGAGCGAGUAAAGUACUAACAUCUACACCAAAGUAUAGAAAUAAAGCUAGACAAUAAUAGGAACAAUAAGUAGUACAAAAACUGCCUCAAGUACAAAAAUGGUGGCCUCUAUACAUAUACGGGUACAACUCUCAACCUCUCACAAAAAGAAAACACGAGAGGUAGACCACCUAUCGAACAAUCCCUCGGUAACCACGCUAGCCCGAGGCGAUACCCUUUCCGCGAUCCCUGGCCUCUCCCUGCGUGGAAGGCUCUGAAAACAUCGAGAAAAAGAGGGCGUGAGAACUAUAAUUUAUAGUUCCCAGUGGGCAAUUACUGACCUCAGCUCCUACUCCACUAGGCCCCAAAAAUAGGGUAAGUAAUGCUAAUAGCAAUAAGCGAUAAAAAGGAGCAUGUAAAUAAACUGCUGAAAGAGAGAGCAUAAAUAAAAUGCUAUACUACAAUAUCUCACAUAAGCACGAUGUCAAAAUGUGGUACAUCUAUUCUAUCAUAAGGAAAAGUGACCAAUGGCAAUAGUUUACUGUCACAACCCUUUAUUCAUACAUGAUGUAUAGGCUCUAUCAUGGCAGCCAAGUAUACCGUGAUGAAAUAGGUAACUGUCAAGUAUACUACAUGUCUCAACCCUAUGCUAUAUGCAUGUAAAUGUAAUCCAACUACUAAACCUAUCUAGUAGUGAUUGUUCAUUCUCAAACCGUGUCGAUUUCCAUUUCCAAUUAGGGACCUACCCAAGGUAGUCCAGCUUGUGCCGCCUAAGUGCCUGUGGUAGCCCGACAUUCCUACACAUGGAAUGUGUCUGUCCCACUCGACCCCGUAGGCUUCUCGAUACCGCACGAGCGAACAAAAGUCGCGUAGGCUAACUCCGGAGUGCCGGCUUGUAGGGAGCGACCCUCACAAGCAUGUGCGAAUGAGCACAAAUGGCAAGCAAGCAUAGUCCAAGUCUCAAGUAUCCAAUCCUCAUGUCUCUAACAUGGUAUAGUCACUAGUAUCCCGAAGAUCUAGUACUAAGUCACAAAUGAAGUUCCAACGUUCUCUAGGUCUAGUGCCCCUUUAUGACACUUAGACAUUUAAUGUUUAAGCAUGUUCCACAUUCCUUAAUGACCCUAUCCACUAGGUUCUCACAUGUCCCGAGCUCAAUGCCGCUUGAUGACAUUAGCUCACUAGUUCGCAUACCUUCUAAAAUGGCAAUCUUGUCAUCUUUCAUGUCACAAGUGAACUCAAGUUUAAAUGCAUGAAUCCGAACUCAAUUACGCUAUAGAAGUAUGAAACCAAGUCUCAUGAAGAAUGCUAAAUGCAACCAUAGAUCCCCCAAGCAACUCUCUACUACAUAGAGGUCCAAAAUUUUAUUUUACAUAACAUAUGCAUUUUAAGCAUUCUAAAAAUCGUAAUAAAUACAAUUAGGAUGAAUAUGCAUGCUUUUCCAAUUUACGGAACAUAUAUAACCAUAAAUGAGAAUUUCUCAUAAGUAGGCUAGGUCAAACCCACCGAACCGUCGCGUAGGGCCUCGUUUCGCCGAACAAAGUUGUCCCCGAGUCUCAAAAUACCCUAAAAGUAAUCAGCGAAGAGAUACGAGGGCAUUACGACCAUCAUAUAAUGUCAAACAUUAACCUAGAAGCAAAAAGGGCCAAAACUAACCUCAAGAGUAGAAAUCUCUUCCAAAGCUCCAAAAGAGAGCUAGAACCCUUCCAAUCCAAGCUCAAGGAAGGUUCUAAACCAAUCAAUCAAGCCUCAAAAGCCCUAGGUUCAAAAAAGCCCAAAAUAAACCCUGAGUCUCAAAACUAGGGUUUCAAAACAAUAAAGCCUCAAAUCCAAGGUCUAGAUGGAGAGAAAGGGCUACCAACCUCAAAGAGGCUUCAAUCCAAGCUCAAAGGAUGAAGAUCUUCUCCUUUGCAAGCUCCAAAUCCAAGCCUUCAAGCACCAAGGAAGAUGAGAGGGUGAGGAAGAUGCUCCAAGUCCACUAGUAGCUCCAAACUUCUUCUCCUUCCCUCCUUCUUCUCCUUCUCCUUCUUCUUCUUCUUCUCUAUCAAGGGUGUAGAGAGGGUUGUGAGAAGAGAAAUGAGGAGAAGAGAGGGUGGAGGGGUCAUAUAGACCCUCUAAUGUAACAAAAUCCAGCCAGUCCCCUCAAAAAUCCAAUAUUACCACAGCCCGGUCUGGGCAGUUUUCGCCCAGAGGGACCGGUCUCUCGCUGCGUACCCGAAAAACCAGCGUUCGGGAACCGGUCUCUCCCUGCGCGGGACCGGUCUCUCACUGCGUAGAAGCGCUCGGGGACCGGUCUCGCCCGCCAGGGACCGGUUGCCUCAGGGCUGCCGCAACACUGCUCACUGGGGGACCGGUCUCUCCUUUUAGGGACCGGUCCCCGAGAGUAAAAACUCUCAGAACUUGUCCAGAAUUUCAGUUUUCGAACUUUUUAGGUCGGAAAACAUUCUACAACCUUCCACCAAGUGUGGAAAAGCUCGAAAUACGUCCAAACACUCGAACAUCGCAAUUUGCAAAGGUCCAGUGUGUUACACGGCGGGCCGCCGAACGGACAGCUCCUCCCCUGUCCGCCCAAGGCUCAACAACAGGAAUGUGUAUAAGAAUUUAUCCAGGAAAUUAAAUUCUAAGCAUACACAUUCAAGAGGGCACAAACAGUGCCAACAAUACGAGAGCAAGCAAUCCACAAGGUAACAGGUGAAAUAAAGAGAGUACUUUACUAACUAUUACAAUAGUUCCAAUAUUCUCAUUUACAUCAUUUUCUUUAAAUGAAUACAUUUGUCAUCCAAAAUACGUAGCUCUCCAAAUCCUCACCUACAAUGAAUCUCUCUCUCAAUACAUAGGUGACUAAUGCAAAAAGGAAAGCUACUAUACUACCACGGUCUCACAGGUCGGGCGAGAUGCCCUUGCCGCGGUCCUCUCUCUGCAGCCCUGAACCUACCACUGGAAAUAGAGUGGGGUGAGAACUAUCUUCCAUAGUUCCCAGUGGGUUCGGCCGCCGACUCUGCCGAUCUCCCCACUAGGUCAAGUGGGCACAAGUAACAACAAAUAGAUAGAUAGAUAGAUAUGUAUCUGAAAGCUGUAAAUGCAAUAGUAGGAAAACUAUGCUACUAUGCCCAUAAUCAUGAAUAUGAAUGCAUGCAUCAUAUAAUAAAGGUUUACUAUCAUGCUAACAAAUUCGAUCCAUGUUCAAAUAGCAAUGUUCAAUGACAUUAGUAAACCUUUAACCUUUCCAAUUACCCAAUCUGUGGCGAGGCCCUAGGGCUCGCCCAUGACUCACCUUUCAAUCCCAAAGUGGGGAGGGUGUCACGCCCCGGGACCGAUACCAAUUUGGCCCGACCCGAGCACGUCAAACAGACGCCGAACGGACAGAGUUUCCCCUAUCUGCCCAAGGCUCAUCACAUGUACAUUUUCAUCAAUAGAGAAAAGCACUAGCGGAAACAUACACAAGCAGCUUACACGAAGGUAAGCAAUAGCCACAAGUGAAAGAAAAAGGAAACUAAACCUUUACAAGUACUAUGAUUCAUUUUUUAUCAUAUACAUUGCAUCCAUUUACAUUCAUGAUUCUUGUACUUCAUUACACAUUGCAUCAUUUCUUUCUUACAUCACAUUUACCUCAAAAUAAACUUUACAUUCUUUUCUCAAUAUCACUAGUCAUCAAAUACAAAUAUGAACAAAGGGUACUCUACCAACAAAAUGUAAACCCAACUCAACUCUGGUGGCCUCUGUCUAAGGCGCGAUACCUUUACCUCGGUCGCUCGCCGGCUCGCUCGGUCCCGGCUCUGUGGAAAUAGUGGGGUGAGAACUACAACAAAGUUCCCAGUGGGUUCGGCCUCAACAUCACCGACUUUCCCACUAGGACUAACUCAGGCAUAAUAGAAAGAAUAAGCUGCAUAUAGUAACCAAUCUAUACAUGAUGCUAAUAUGCCUGAACAAUAAAGCAGAAAUAUGCUCAACAUUAAAUAAAUGCAGAUUAUGCAAAUUCUUUGUUCUUUUCACGUUACUCUUUGUUCUUUGUUCUUUGCUCUUUGUUCUUUAUUCUUUAUUCUUUAAUCUCAAGGCUAACCCGGGGGUUUCGCCAUAUUAACUUGCUUCACAUUAAGUCCAUCAUCGCAGGAACUCACCCGCUAGGACCGUCCUUCGGGUUUACUCCAACCCGUGAUGCAUAACUCCGGAGCGCAUCGCCCGAGGGGUAGCGACCACCCUCGAGCACGGAACUCAUAGCAAGUAUGAUCAUAUCCUUAACUCAAAGGAUUUAUAAGUUCAAUCUUGACUUUACACUAGUUCUAGUGUCCUUCACAUCACUUUAUGUUGCAAACUCAUGCAAUCACAUUCUUUACAUUUCUCUACUCUUGCUAACUCUAGCAUUCUCGUUCGUUACAAUUCUUGUUCUUAUUGCCCCACUUUACUUUAACCUUACACAUUGUCAUUUUCAUCAUUCUUUACAUCACGUUAGUUCUUUGCAUCACACUAACUCUAGUGUCUCUUUACUUUACAUUUUCAAAUGCCACUCGAUCUACGUCAUAGUGUCACUCUGUUCUUUUACUCACUUUAGGUGCUCACUUUUCUCUCAUGCAUACACAUAGGGUUUUCGACGUUUACAUAGUUCUCAUUCAUCAUAUUAUGCAAGUUGUACUCACAAUCAUGCAACAUUACAUUUUCAUCAUUACUUUACCGUAAAAUGCAUGCAACAAUAUAUAUAUGCAUGCUCAAAUGAAUGACACAUUAGGCAUAGAGAGAAGUUCAAUGAGUUUGAGAAGCACCACCCACCUCGUAGGCUUUCAAAGGUGCUCCGAUGACUUUCUUGGGAUUUUUAGACCCUUCGUUCUUUACCUGCGGCAUAACGAAGCCAAAUUAGGCUUAUUUGGCCAUAACUUUACAUUGGCUUUUCGUAACAUUAAUCCGAGCGCACCAACGCGUCGGAAAUACCCCAAAUUAGGUUUCUAGUAGGUCAAUUGCACUUAGAAAUUCCUAUGAGCAAAAGCCCCAAUUCGGUGCCCUAGCUCCAAUACAUAUAUCAAACCUAGGGUUUGAUCUCAAAGAGAAGCAAAAAUAGCUUCAUUAUACUCUAAAAAGUCCAUUAGAACCAUCUUUAGACAAAUCAAAACCCUACUUAGGGUUCCACCAUGAGAGGUGAUGAAGCUCACCUCAAGCUUCACCAUUUCUAUGGUCUUGAUCUCAAAAGAAGCAAAAGAAAAGCUUCAAAUACUCAAAUGGUUCCAUAAAACCCAUUUUAAGCUUAAUCCAAACCCUAAAUUAGGUUCUACCAUAAUUAGGGUUCAAGGCUUACCUUGUAAGCUCUCCUUUUCCAAGCUAGAGAUGAGGGAGAGGGAGUUUCUUCACUACCUCUUCUUUUUCUCCUUUUUCUUCUCCUUCUUUUCCUUUCUUUCCUUGUCUUCUUCUUCUCCUUCUUUGUCUUCUAGAGAGAGAGAGGGAGAGGGAUGAGUUUGGGUGUGAGGGAAUGAGAGGGAGAGGCUCCCUCAGCCCUAAACAUGACCCACAUAAUGCAUUUUCGCAGAUAAGUCCCUCAGCUUUUAUCUCAUUACAUGGCCCGAACUGGGCAGUUCGCGCAGCCGGGGACCGGUCUCUCCUUCAGGGACCGGUUCCCGAAGGCUCUCUCCGCGCAGCCAGAGCUGCUGCGCGCAGGGCAACCGGUCUCUCUUUGGGGGACCGGUCUCUCGGGGACCGGUCUCUUAGGCAGGGACCGGUUCCCGAGAGCUAACUUCUCAGGACUUAGCCGAUUUUUCGGCUGUCUCACUUCAUACGCGUUCGGGGACCGGUCUCUCCCACCAGGGACCGGUCCCCGAGAGCUCAAAACUACAGAAUGCAGAUUUUGAUUCUAUAGCUCUCGAAAACCUCCCGUAACUCACUUUUAAUCAUUUUAACACCUUCGGACUUUUCGAAGUNUUUGCUGGGUAACAUCAAAAGCGAGGUUCUUCGCCGACUUCCUACUUAGUGCGUUCGCAACCACAUUUGCCUUUCCGGGGUGGUAGAGGAUAUCGACAUCAUAAUCCUUUAACAGCUCCAACCACCGCCGCUGACGCAUGUUGAGCUCUUUCUGUGUAAACAGGUACUUCAAGCUCUUGUGGUCGGUAUAGAUCUCACAAUGGGCACCAUAUAAAUAGUGCCUCCACAGCUUCAAGGCAAAAAUCACUGCCGCUAGCUCCAAAUCAUGAAUGGGGUAGUUCUUUUCAUAGCUCUUCAGCUGACGGGACGCAUAAGCAAUCACCUUCCUGUUUUGCAUCAAUACACANCACAAGGCGAUGCUCCUCCGCCUCCACAGGUUCCUCAGUCUGGACCUGAGCGGCGAACACCCGUCCGCUCGGGGCCGAUCGCGUCGUAUCAGGUUGACGCGGCAUCAUCCCGCGUCCAGUCGACGCGGCCGUCGGUGGAGCUCCUCCAUAGUGAGCCGGAAUCGCCGGCGCCGAUGCAAUCGAGGGGGCAGGUGAGGCUCCUCCUCCCGGGCAAUCUCGAAUAAAGUGCCCCGGCUGCCCACACUUGUAGCACUUGCCUCGGCCUUGUUCACAGCACGAAACCGGAUGGUCCCCGCCGCAUAUCAUGCAUCGCCGCACUCCACCGCCCUUCUGUUGAGUGCGCGCAUACUUCGAGGGUUUCUUGUAACGUGUCUGUCCCCCCGAACUACCGCCACCUUGGCGUUUCUUGCCCUUGUCCUUAGACUCGGCCAAAGCCUCACGCUUCUCCCGCACGUGGGCAUCUCCGUGCUCCGCCCAUAGGGCUCGGUCGAAGACCUACGCAAAGGUCGUGAGCUUAAGUAUUUGCACGGCCUUGUAGAUUCCCGGCCGAAGUCCUCGCAAGAACCACUUGGCCCGGUCCCGGCCACCUUUACAACAUCCGGGACACAAUCGAUAAUAUGGGAGAAUUUUUGUUCAUACUCCGCCACUGAGCGGUCCCCUUGUUCGAGCUUGCGGAACUUCUCCUUGAGCUUCCGCUUCAAUGUGUCGGGGAAAUAGUUGGCGAACAUCUCCCGCUUGAAUUCUUCCCACAGCAUCGGCGGAAGGCCGGAAAGCCGAUCCCGUCUAACGCGCUUCCACCAAACUUUCGCCGCCUUUUCCAAGCAAUGGGUGGCGAGAUACACCUUGUCCCUCUCCAAGGUCGAAAAUCGGGCGAAAGCACACAAGCGCACUCGUUCUAGGCUCUUGGUAUCAUGUCGUCGGCCGCCGACACAACCACCUCAAGACAAGAACUCAUACGACUUGAGUCCGUCUCUAAUCACAACUAGAGACAUAUACCAACUUCGACCCAAUCGAAUUAACUUCCGCCGUCGCUAUAGGUUCACGUUCCGCUCACGCACCUAUAACCUUAGGGCUUACCAACCUAGGGUCUCCUAGGUCAUCCUAGACUCUCUCUUUACUUGCUCUUAUUGCUCUGAUACCAAAACGGCUGUCACGCCCCCCCCCGAAACCACUACCAAUUUGGCACGGUUCGGCCGCGGCGGCGGGCCGCCGAACGGACAGCUCCACCCCUGUCCGCCCAAGGCUCAACAACAGGAAUGUGUAUAAGAAUUUACCCAGGAAAUUAAAUUCUAAGCAUACACAUUCAAGAGGGAACAAACAGUGCCAACAAUACGAGAGCAAGCAAUCCACAAGGUAACAGGUGAAAUAAAUAGAGUACUUUACUAACUAUUACAAUAGUUCCAACAUUCUCAUUUACAUCAUUUUCUUUAAAUGAAUACAUUUGUCAUCCAAAAUACAUAGCUCUCCAAAUCCUCACCUACAAUGAUUCUCUCUCUCAAUACAUAGGUGACUAAUGCAAAAAGGAAAGCUACUAUACUACCACGGUCUCACAGGUCGGGCAUGAUGCCCUUGCUGUCCUCUCUCUGCAGCCCUGAACCUACCACUAGAAAUAGAGUGGGGUGAGAACUAUCUUCCAUAGUUCCCAGUGGGCUCGGUCGCCGACUCUGCCGAUCUCCCCACUAGGUCCAAGUGGGCACAAGUAACAACAAAUAGAUAGAUAGAUAGAUAUGUAUCUGAAAACUGUAAAUGCAAUAGUAGGAAAACUAUNNNNNNNNNNNNNNNNNNNNNNNNNNNNNNNNNNNNNNNNNNNNNNNNNNNNNNNNNNNNNNNNNNNNNNNNNNNNNNNNNNNNNNNNNNNNNNNNNNNNNNNNNNNNNNNNNNNNNNNNNNNNNNNNNNNNNNNNNNNNNNNNNNNNNNNNNNNNNNNNNNNNNNNNNNNNNNNNNNNNNNNNNNNNNNNNNNNNNNNNNNNNNNNNNNNNNNNNNNNNNNNNNNNNNNNNNNNNNNNNNNNNNNNNNNNNNNNNNNNNNNNNNNNNNNNNNNNNNNNNNNNNNNNNNNNNNNNNNNNNNNNNNNNNNNNNNNNNNNNNNNNNNNNNNNNNNNNNNNNNNNNNNNNNNNNNNNNNNNNNNNNNNNNNNNNNNNNNNNNNNNNNNNNNNNNNNNNNNNNNNNNNNNNNNNNNNNNNNNNNNNNNNNNNNNNNNNNNNNNNNNNNNNNNNNNNNNNNNNNNNNNNNNNNNNNNNNNNNNNNNNNNNNNNNNNNNNNNNNNNNNNNNNNNNNNNNNNNNNNNNNNNNNNNNNNNNNNNNNNNNNNNNNNNNNNNNNNNNNNNNNNNNNNNNNNNNNNNNNNNNNNNNNNNNNNNNNNNNNNNNNNNNNNNNNNNNNNNNNNNNNNNNNNNNNNNNNNNNNNNNNNNNNNNNNNNNNNNNNNNNNNNNNNNNNNNNNNNNNNNNNNNNNNNNNNNNNNNNNNNNNNNNNNNNNNNNNNNNNNNNNNNNNNNNNNNNNNNNNNNNNNNNNNNNNNNNNNNNNNNNNNNNNNNNNNNNNNNNNNNNNNNNNNNNNNNNNNNNNNNNNNNNNNNNNNNNNNNNNNNNNNNNNNNNNNNNNNNNNNNNNNNNNNNNNNNNNNNNNNNNNNNNNNNNNNNNNNNNNNNNNNNNNNNNNNNNNNNNNNNNNNNNNNNNNNNNNNNNNNNNNNNNNNNNNNNNNNNNNNNNNNNNNNNNNNNNNNNNNNNNNNNNNNNNNNNNNNNNNNNNNNNNNNNNNNNNNNNNNGAAAGCUUCGGGAUGGCACCCCCCACCUUUAAUCGAUGUAGAGGCUUGGGAAAUCCUUCUCGGCGAACUUUACGAAAAGGCUUUAGCCUUCCUCGCCCGAAUCAACACUAACCCGGCCCGAUCUUGCCGAGAACUUCACGUCGGCUCGCCGAAUGCUAAAACCGACCUGGCCCCCACGUUUGUGACCUAACAAUAGGGUUUCCAAGGCUUCAAAUGAGAUCAAUCUCAUACUUUACAAAAUGCCCCCAUUUGGAGCCCUAGGUUGCACAUAUAGCAACCCACCAAUAAAACCCUAGAUUUCAUGGGAUUGAUCUACUUAGAAGCUUAUUUAGGGUUCAUUUGACCCAUUCCAAAGCAUAAAAACCCAAAACCCUAAGUUUUACAAGCUAGGGUUUGUAGCUUACCUCUUGAGCUGCACCAAUAGAGAGGAGAGAAAGAGAGGAAGAUGCUCCAAGCCUUCUCUAUCUUGUUCUCCUCCUUCUUCUUCUUCUCUUUCUUCUUCUCCUUCUCUUAUGUUCUUUCUUUCCUAGAGAGAGAGAGGAGCAAGAGAGAGUGUGAAAGAGAGAGAGAGAAUGAGAGGCUGUGAGGGAGAGAGAGAGGGCUUAGCCCACUCUAAUAAAGGCCAUUUUGCACAAAAAUCCCUCAACUUUUAAUCCUAUACGCUGCUCUUACUGGGCAGUUUUCGCGCGGAGGGACCGGUCUCCCCGAUAAGGGACCGGUCCCCGAGAGCUUUCCUCGGGCACACGCGUUCGGGAACCGGUCUCUCCCCGCGAGACCGGUCCUCAGGAGACCGAUCCUCGCCUGAGAGACCGGUCCCCGAGAGCUCGAUUUUCAGGACUUAGCCAAUUUCGGCAUUUCUCGCUGGGGACAACGUUCGGGAACCAGUCUCUCUCUGCCAGAGACCGGUUGCAUCAAGCAACCCUGUAACACCCUGCCAAGGGAACCGGUCUCUCACCUGCAGAGACCGGUCCCCGAGAGCAACAUCAGCCCAAUGAUGCUGUUUGCAUCGUUUGCUCUCGCGGACUCAACUCCAAAGCACUUUUUGUGUAUCGGACAUUUCCAACUCCCACAAAGGGUAUUCUCUCGACAAUUAGUCGAUCCUGAAUGAAGUACAAUCCUCGGAUUUCAAGAAUUCACUUCCUUACAUCCUCCCCUCCUUAAAAGGAGUUUCGUCCUCGAAACUAACUCAAUUCUUUAUUUUAAUUCAAAUUCGUACCUUACUCCUCAAAUAGAUGAGGAUGGUGUUUUCUCAUUAGAUCCUCGAGUUCCCAGGUGGCUUCGCGAUCAUCGUGAUUGCUCCACCUAACCUUCACAUAGGGGAUUUCUCGAUUCCUCAACUUUCGUACCUCUCGGGCAAUAAUCCCUACCGGAAACUCUUCAUAGCUCAAGUCUCCUUGAAGUUCCGGCGGUUCAUAUAGCAUUGCAUGCUCGGGGUCGUGAAUGUACUUGCGGAGAUUGGAGACAUGGAACACAUUGUGUACAUCCGCAAGCUUCGGCGGUAGAGCAAGCCGGUAGGCCACCGAGCCGACUCGCUCUAAUAUCUCAUAUGGCCCAAUAUAUCGGGGACUUAACUUUCCCCGCACUCCAAACCGCUUCACACCCCGCAUGGGUGAAACCUUCAAGAAUACGCGGUCACCCACUGCGAAUUCUAUAUCUCGACGGCGCCUAUCCGCAUAACUUUGCUGUCUUGACUGCGCCGUGAGCAAUCUCUUGCGAGCAAGGCGGACUUUCUCCUCCGCUUCUCGCAACACAUCCGGGCCGAACUCCGCACGCUCGCCAACAUCGCUCCAGUGUAUAGGAGACCGACACGUCCGCCCGUAAAGAGCCUCGAACGGUGCCAUCUCCACACUAGCAUGAUAACUGUUGUUGUAGGCGAACUCGGCCAUAGGUAGGUGGUCACACCAACUUCCCUUAUAGUCAAUGACACACGCUCGCAACAUAUCCUCCAGAGUUUGAAUUGUUCUCUCUGUUUGCCCAUCGGUCUGAGGAUGAAAUGCGGUGCUAAAAUCGAGCCGCGUGCCAAGGGCUCCUUGCAGGCUUUUCCAAAAGUGUGAAGUGAACCGGGGGUCACGAUCCGACACGAUCGAUUUCGGCACCCCAUGCAGUCUCACUAUCUCGUCGAGAUAUACCUGCGCUAACUUGUCACCUGACCACGUGGUGUGGAUCGGCAAGAAAUGAGCCGACUUAGUUAAUCGGUCCACAAUUACCCAGAUUGCAUCGUGGCCGCCCGUUGAGCGAGGCAAGCCGACCACGAAGUCCAUCGAUAUAUCCUCCCAUUUCCAAACGGGGAUUGGUAGGCUUUGAAGCUUUCCCGCUGGAAAUCGACGCUCUGCUUUCACUUGUUGGCACGUUAAGCACUUCGCCACAAAGCGCCCAAUAUCACCCUUCAUUCCCGGCCACCAAUAAUGCAUUUUCAAUCCUCGAUACAUUUUGGUGCCGCCCGGGUGAUCAGCAUACGGAGAUCUGUGUGCUUCUUGUAGAAUCAAUUCGCGAAGCUCUCCAUCUUUCGGCACACACCAUCGGUUUCUAAACCGAAGCGCACCAUCGGCGUUUAUACUGAAAUCGCCGCCACGCCCUUCCUCGAUGUUUCGCCGCACCUUUUGGAGCUCUGGGUCUGCGGGUUGCAGAUCUUUAAUCCUCUCCAACAAGGUCGGUUGGACAACGAGUGCCAUCAGCUGAGUCGGGACCUCGGGAGCGACCACUUCAAGGUCCAAUCGCUCCAUAUCCAGCCACAGAGGUGUUUGCUGGGUAACAUCAAAUGCGAGGUUCUUCGCCGACUUCCUACUUAGUGCGUCCGCGACCACAUUUGCCUUCCCGGGGUGGUAGAGGAUAUCGACAUCAUAAUCCUUUAACAGCUCCAACCACCGCCGCUGACGCAUAUUGAGCUCCUUCUGAGUAAACAAGUACUUUAAGCUCUUGUGGUCGGUAUAGAUCUCACAGUGGGCACCAUAUAAAUAGUGCCUCCACAGCUUUAAGGCGAAUAUCACCGCCGCUAGCUCCAAAUCAUGGAUGGGGUAGUUCUUCUCGUAGCUCUUCAGCUGACGGGAUGCGUAGGCAAUCACCUUCCCGUUUUGCAUCAACACACACCCCAACCCAAGAUAGGAGGCAUCACUGUAGACCACGAAGUCUUCGCCCUGCACCGGUAGAGCGAGCACCGGAGUCGAAGUCAACCUUUGCUUCAACUCCUUAAAACUCCGGUCGCACUCUUCGCUCCACACAAACUUGGUGCCUUUCUGGGUCAGGCGGGUAAGUGGAAUCACUAUUUUGGAAAAGCCUUCCACAAACCGCCUAUAGUAGCCCGCCAAGCCCACGAAGCUUCGAACCUCCGUGACAUUCGUCGGGCGCGGCCAAUCCUUGAUUGCCUCAACUUUCCUCGGGUCUACAGAAACUCCACCCGCGGAAAUCACAUGCCCUAAGAAGGCGACCUCGCGAAGCCAAAAGUCACACUUCUUCAGCUUAGCAUACAGCUUCUCCUCCCGAAGGACUUGAAGCACUAUUCUCAAAUGCUCGGCAUGUUCCUCGUCACUACGAGAAUAGACCAAUAUGUCGUCUAUGAAGACCACGACAAAUCGAUCCAAAUACUUCUUGAAGACACGGUUCAUCAAAUCCAUAAAUGCCGCUGGAGCAUUCGUGAGUCCAAAUGGCAUAACCGUGAAUUCGUAGUGUCCAUAUCGCGUUACGAAACGCAGUUUUCUGCACAUCCUCCGGCUGAAUCUUCAGUUGGUGAUAGCCGGAUUGCAAAUCUAUCUUUGAGUACACACACGACCCCUACAACUGAUCGAACAAGUCAUCGAUUCAGGGUAGUGGGUACUUAUUCUUGAUCGUUACUCUGUUCAAUUCUCGAUAGUCCACGCAGAGUCAGAACGAUCCGUCUUUCUUCCUCACGGACAACACCGGGGCUCCCCACGGCGAUACACUUGGCCGGAUAAAUUGCUUGUCAAGGAGGUCUUGCAGUUGACUCCUCAACUCCUUCAAUUCCGCCGGCGCCAUUCGGUACGGAGCCUUCGAGAUCGGUGCGGUACCAGGAACCAAGUCUAUGACGAACUCGAUCUCCCGAUCAGGUGGUAUCCCCGGCAACUCCGUGGGAAAUACAUCCGGGAACUCCCGCACCACCGAUAGCUCCUCUAACAUUGGAGCUACUCGUUCCACUUCCACAACAGUCGCCAAAAACGUCGUGCAACCGCUGUUCACUAACUUCCUUUCUCUCGUCGCCGACACCGUCACGACGAAGCACGAGCUUUGACAAGCCCGAUAUGUGAACUCCUCUUGUCCUGGCUCACGGAAUGUGAUCACCCUGCUCUUGCAGUCGAUCGUUGCGUGAUACUUCGAGAGCCAGUCCAUACCCAGAAUGACAUCGUAAGCCUCAAGCUUUGUGAGUUCUAGCGUCCGGAUAGGCAUAAUCCAGUCGCUUAUUUGUACUGGACAUGACGCACACUCCGAGUAGGUGUUAAACGUUGACCCAGGGCCCUCCACUCGCCACUUAUCGCUCGCUUCUAUGAGAAUGUCAUGCAUGCGUGCGAAUGAUCUACUUAAGAAUGAAUGCGUGGCUCCUGUAUCAAAUAAAGCCCUGGAGCGAACUCCGUUAAUUAAAACCAUACCUGCCACAAGGCGAUGCUCCUCCGCCUCCACAGGUUCCUCAGUCUGGACCUGAGCGGCGAACACCCGUCCGCUCGGGGCCGAUCGCGUCGUAUCAGGUUGACGCGGCAUCAUCCCGCGUCCAGUCGACGCGGCCGUCGGUGGAGCUCCUCCAUAGUGAGCCGGAAUCGCCGGCGCCGAUGCAAUCGAGGGGGCAGGUGAGGCUCCUCCUCCCGGGCAAUCUCGAAUAAAGUGCCCCGGCUGCCCACACUUGUAGCACUUGCCUCGGCCUUGUUCACAGCACGAAACCGGAUGGUCCCCGCCGCAUAUCAUGCAUCGCCGCACUCCACCGCCCUUCUGUUGAGUGCGCGCAUACUUCGAGGGUUUCUUGUAACGUGUCUGUCCCCCCGAACUACCGCCACCUUGGCGUUUCUUGCCCUUGUCCUUAGACUCGGCCAAAGCCUCACGCUUCUCCCGCACGUGGGCAUCUCCGUGCUCCGCCCAUAGGGCUCGGUCGAAGACCUACGCAAAGGUCGUGAGCUUAAGUAUUUGCACGGCCUUGUAGAUUCCCGGCCGAAGUCCUCGCAAGAACCACUUGGCCCGGUCCCGGCCACCUUUACAACAUCCGGGACACAAUCGAUAAUAUGGGAGAAUUUUUGUUCAUACUCCGCCACUGAGCGGUCCCCUUGUUCGAGCUUGCGGAACUUCUCCUUGAGCUUCCGCUUCAAUGUGUCGGGGAAAUAGUUGGCGAACAUCUCCCGCUUGAAUUCUUCCCACAGCAUCGGCGGAAGGCCGGAAAGCCGAUCCCGUCUAACGCGCUUCCACCAAACUUUCGCCGCCUUUUCCAAGCAAUGGGUGGCGAGAUACACCUUGUCCCUCUCCAAGGUCGAAAAUCGGGCGAAAGCACACAAGCGCACUCGUUCUAGGCUCUUGGUAUUAUGUCGUCGGCCGCCGACACAACCACCUCAAGACAAGAACUCAUACGACUUGAGUCCGUCUCUAAUCACAACUAGAGACAUAUACCAACUUCGACCCAAUCGAAUUAACUUCCGCCGUCGCUAUAGGUUCACGUUCCGCUCACGCACCUAUAACCUUAGGGCUUACCAAUCUAGGGUCUCCUAGGUCAUCCUAGACUCUCUCUUUACUUGCUCUUAUUGCUCUGAUACCAAAACGGCUGUCACGCCCCCCCCCGAAACCACUACCAAUUUGGCACGGUUCGGCCGCGGCGGCGGGCCGCCGAACGGACAGCUCCACCCCUGUCCGCCCAAGGCUCAACAACAGGAAUGUGUAUAAGAAUUUACCCAGGAAAUUAAAUUCUAAGCAUACACAUUCAAGAGGGAACAAACAGUGCCAACAAUACGAGAGCAAGCAAUCCACAAGGUAACAGGUGAAAUAAAUAGAGUACUUUACUAACUAUUACAAUAGUUCCAACAUUCUCAUUUACAUCAUUUUCUUUAAAUGAAUACAUUUGUCAUCCCAAAUACAUAGCUCUCCAAAUCCUCACCUACAAUGAAUCUCUCUCUCAAUACAUAGGUGACUAAUGCAAAAAGGAAAGCUACUAUACUACCACGGUCUCACAGGUCGGGCAUGAUGCCCUUGCUGUCCUCUCUCUGCAGCCCUGAACCUACCACUAGAAAUAGAGUGGGGUGAGAACUAUCUUCCAUAGUUCCCAGUGGGCUCGGUCGCCGACUCUGCCGAUCUCCCCACUAGGUCCAAGUGGGCACAAGUAACAACAAAUAGAUAGAUAGAUAGAUAUGUAUCUGAAAACUGUAAAUGCAAUAGUAGGAAAACUAUACUACUAUGCCGAUAAUCAUGAAUAUGAAUGCAUGCAUCAUAUAAUAAAGGUUUGCUAUCAUGCUAACAAAUUCGAUCCAUGUUCGAAUAGCAAUGUUCAAUGACAUUAGUAAACCUUUAACCUUUCCAAUUACCUAAUCUGUGGCGAGGCCCUAGGGCUCGCCCAUGACUCACCUUUCAAUCCCAAAGUGGGGAGGGAGCUCCAAGUGCACCCAAGCCCGAGACCGUCUGCGGACCUCCAUGUGGUCCGGACCUCCAAGUGGUCCUAGUCGCACGACACUCCGGAGUACUCGACGACAAUCCCCUCCAUGUGGGGAUUCGAUGGUUUUACCAUCCCAAACGCAGACUGUGAGCUAGAUCUAUCCUCUCCAAGUGAGGAUACCCUACAUCUAGGGUCAAUACCCAAUCGAAUCCUCUCCAAGUGAGGGAGCACUAUCACUAGGCUCCACAACCCAAUCAAAUCCUCUCCAAGUGAGGAUGCCCUACAAAUAGGGUCAACAUCUCUCGCGGAACCCUUUGUUCCUGACAUUCAUGCAAGGCUAUUUAGCGUUUCUAAAUUCAUUGUUCACAAGGCAUUUUCUAAGGGAUCCACCUAUCCCUAGGUCCGUCGACCUCUAGUGUCAUUUACACUACAUUAAUGCCACUCGUCAUCAUUCAAUGUUUGGAUGCCACUCGUUUGUUCUUUAACAUUAACACUACUUUCUAUGUCAUCAACACCCCCAUCGGGUUUAUCUCUAUCUUUAGCAUCAUAGGAUCCACGUUCCGACCCAAUCCUCACCUAUCUAGUUACCAAGCAUUCCAAGUACACUAGGUUAUCAUUUAGAAAGUAUAAGGAAUGGUGCUACUAUGCAAUCCUACAAUGCAACAUGAAGAGAUGAGAUUAAAUGCAAUCUAAGACAUAAAAAGGAAUUUGAAAGCUUCGGGAUGGCACCCCCCACCUUUAAUCGAUGUAGAGGCUUGGGAAAUCCUUCUCGGCGAACUUUACGAAAAGGCUUUAGCCUUCCUCGCCCGAAUCAACACUAGCCCGGCCCGAUCUUGCCGAGAAUUUCGCGUCGGCUCGCCGAAUGCUAAAACGGACCUCGCCCCCACGUUUUGUGACCUAACAAUAGGGUUUCCAAGGCUUCAAAUGAGAUCAAUCUCAUACUUUACAAAAUGCCCCCAUUUGGAGCCCUAGGUUGCACAUAUAGCAACCCACCAAUAAAACCCUAGAUUUAUGGGAUUGAUCUACUUAGAAGCUUAUUUAGGGUUCAUUUGACCCAUUCCAAAGCAUAAAAACCCAAAACCCUAAGUUUUACAAGCUAGGGUUUGUAGCUUACCUCUUGAGCUGCACCAAUAGAGAGGAGAGAAAGAGAAGAAGAUGCUCCAAGCCUUCUCUAUCUUGUUCUCCUCCUUCUUCUUCUUCUCCUCCUUCUUCUUCUUCUCUUUCUUCUUCUCCUUCUCUUAUGUUCUUUCUUUCCUAGAGAGAGAGAGGAGCAAGAGAGAGUGUGAAAGAGAGAAAGAAUGAGAGGCUGUGAGGGAGAGAGAGAGGGCUUAGCCCACUCUAAUAAAGGCCAUUUUGCACAAAAACCCCUCAACUUUUAAUCCUAUACGCUGCUUUUACUGGGCAGUUUUCGCGUGGAGGGACCGGUCUCCCCGACAAGGGACUGGUCCACGAGAGCUUUCCUCAGGCACACGCGUUCGGGAACGGGGGGAGACCGGUCCUCAGGAGACCGAUCCUCGCCUGAGAGACCGGUCCCCGAGAGCUCGAUUUUCAGGACUAAGCCAAUUUCGACAUUUCUCGCUGGGGACAACGUUCGGGAACCGGUCUCUCUCUGCCAGAGACCGGUUGCAUCAAGCAACCCUGCAACACCCUGCCAAGGAAACCGGUCUCUCACCUGCAGAGACCAGUCCCCGAGAGCAACAUUAGCCCAAUGAUGCCGUUUGCAUCGUUUGCUCUCGCGGACUCAACUCCAAAGCACUUUUUGUGUAUCGGACAUUUCCAACUCCCACAAAGGGUAUUCUCUUGACAAUUAGUCGAUCCUGAAUGAAGUACAAUCCUCGGAUUUCGAGAAUUCACUUCCUUACACACAUAGUCUAUUUUGGGCUUGUGGCGGUCGCUCCACACAAGCAGUGCACUCCGGAGUUGUCACACGAGCGGGGUAGCUCAUCGGGUGGGAUAUGAGCGGGGCAGCUCCUCACCCAUUGGACUGGGACGUGAGUUGGGGCGAAGGGCGGGGUAGCCUUUCCCCUAUGAGAUUGAGUGGGGCAGCUCAACAUCUAUGAGAUUUGUAGUGUACCGAAUUUUAAUAUAGAAAUAAGAGUAAAUAAAAAUGUAUAAAAUUGUGCAAAUGAGAGGGGCUAAGGUGUAGUGGUGCAAGUAAAAGAGUUUACUUGGAGGGCAAGUCUCCCUAUGUUAUGAGAGGGACUAAAGUGUAAUUGUGCAAAUCAAGGGUUUGCUUGGAGGGCAAGUUUCCUAUGAGUGUAAGUGAAUUCUUGACCUUUUACCCCAAACCGUAGGAGAGAGAGAGGGUGGGUUUUCUCUCUUUUUCUCUUUGACUUUAUGACCUCUCUUUCUCUUUGCUUCUCUUUACCAAAAAGAGGAUUAGAGAAGAAAGAAAAAUUAGAAUUUGCUUGGUGGUGAAGCAAGCUUGGUGGAGAAGAAGGCUUGGAAUUGAGUUACUUUCUUCAUCUUCUUCAUCAUUUGGAUUAGAGAAGAAAGCUUGUUUAAGGUAAGCUUCAUGGGCUCUAAUGGCAUAUAGCUAGAGAUGGGUUUAAAUCUCUUAGAAUCUAGCUAGAUGGAAAUCCUAGUUGAUGUUAGGUUGCUAUUUGCUUGAAUCAUGAAUUUAUAUAGUGUAUUAUUGCAAUAGUGACCUCUAGGAUUUUGGAAGAGAGCUCUUGAUCAUGAGAGGUUUUAAUCUCAAUUGAUCAUAUGUUUCCGCAAUUGAAGGUGAAACCGACUCGGAGGAUCAUUCGGAUUGAGAUUCCGUUAAGCCGGUGGUGGUCAAAGUGAAGAAAAUUCUAUUUUGCUUCAUUUGUCGCAGUUGGAAGAAAACGACGGCCAUAAAUCGCGCUACUAGGCUACUCGCUUCGUGUCAACAUCACGAGGUGGGGGGUGCUAUCCGAAAUAGCCGGGUUUCAUUCUAUGUCUAAGUUCUAAUAUUAUUGAUCAUAUAUCAUCAUGCAUAGAAUAGUGAGAAUCCUAUGAGUUGUGGUAAUUUCAUGCUUAGUGUAAGGGAUAAUGAUCCAUGAUUGCAUGAUACUUGUAGGAAUAUCUAUUUGCAUGAUGUUGAGAUAGAUGUGGACAUGUAUGUUAUAUGAGAACUUUUAUAUGAUGCCAAUAUAAAUAUUGUACAUGUUGUAUGAAUUACUAGUGGACAUAUGCAUGUGAAUAUGAUGUAAGAAUAGACUAGAUUCAUGAGGAACUAGUAUGUAAACCAAUGACAUUGUGAGAAUUGGAAACUAAUGCUAUGUGGCCGACCUAAGCAAAGCAUGCCUUGUGAUGAUUGGGAUAUGGUACUCCCGUGGCCCUCGAAUGAGAGGACUUGAUCAUACUCGCAUUGUCUGUUAUAGCUUGUGGAUGGUCGCUCCUCCCAAGCAGUGAGCUCCGGAGUUGAAUCACAUUGAGAUUGGAACGGGGGAGAGAGUCACUACGGUGCGCCCUCGGCAGACGGUCACGGUCGCGUGACAGUAUGUGUGGCGAGUGAUUCGACCUUCGGGCGAAUCGUUUGGAUUUGACAUAGGCAUGAUCAUGGCAUUUCGUAUAUAGUUUGCAUACAUGACAGAACUUAAACAUGUACUUGUUGACAUGAUUUGUAAAGGCAUAGCUACACAUUUGAAGCAUGAUAUAGAUGUAUAUGAGCAGGUUAGGCUUAUUGUUUAUCUAUUAUCUCCUUGACAUACUAUCAUUCUAUUGUUUCUAUGCCUUUCUUGGACCUAGUGGAAAAAUCGGCGGGGUCGGCGGCCGAACCCACUGGGAACUAUGGAUAAUAGUUCUCACACCCUGUUUUGCAGAGCCUAGUUCGAGCGCGUGUGUCGAGGAUCGCGGCAAGGGCGUCGCGCAGUAGAUAGCAUGGACCACCGGCGUUAGCUCACUACCCUCGAGUAUAAAAAGGAAAGAAUGAUAUGUAAAACCCUUUUGUGAAGAAAUGUAAUGUAUUUGAGAGAUGGUAUUUUGGUUGUAUGUAUGAGAAGUAAAGUGAAAUAUGUGAUGGUUCAUGUGUGUGAACAAGUGAUGUAAUAGAUAAUUUAAAUUCUCUUGUAUCUGUGAUUGCCUCUCUCAAUGUUGAAUGCUAACAUCUCUUGUUGGAUAUGUAUGCAUAGACUUUGUUACGCUUCGGGCGGGCAGGGGAAACUCUGUCCGUUCGGCGGGUCUGUUUCGGACCCGAACUGUCCAAAUUGGCGGUGACGGGUCGUGACAAGAUUAGAGCGGGGCAGCUCAAUAUCUAUGAGAUUAGAGCGGGGUAGCUCUUCAUCUAUGACCUUUGAGAUGUGAGACGGGUGAGAUAAGAGCGGGGUAGCUCCUCACCUAUGAGAUUUGAGAUAAUCAGUCAGGGCGAAGAGCGGGGUAGCUCUUCACCUCUUCACUUAUUAGAUUGUGGUGUGAGUACCUAUGAGAUUUGAGAUCUUAGGCGGGGUAGCCUAGUGGAUUGGGUAAUGACAGGAAUAGCAUAAGUGGAUUUGCAUUCAUACCCUGAUUAGUCAUAGUAUAUGUUAGUGGAUUGCAUAACUAUAUCGUAUUUGUAUUCAUUACAUCGUUGAAGCAUGCUAGCAUGAUAGUAGGCUUGUUGCUAGAUGAUAUUCCAUGCAUUGUUUGCAUUUGAUGGCAUAGUAGAACAUAGUUGCAGUUUCAUUUCUAUCUAUCUAUCUAUCUAUCUAUCUAUCUAUGCCAGCUUAGACCUACUGGGAAGAUCGGCGGAGUCGGCGGCCGAACCCACUGGGAACUAUAUUUUUAUAGUUCUCACCCCGUGUGGUUUUGGGGUACAGGUACACACAUGAGCGGACCGGCAGAUAAUCGCGGUAAGGGCGUAGCGCCCUAGCUAGCUAGUAGAGCUUUUCUAUUGUACUAGAGCACCCUCGUGUGCAUGGUUAUAGAUGACAUGAUGUAUUUUGGAUAGCUAGCAUUAUAUAUAUGUGAGAUGAUUAUGUAUUCAUUUUGGAAGCUUAAAUGUAAUCAAGUUGUAUUAAAGGUUGAAUGGAUGUAAAUGUUGAAUGUCAAAUGUGAUGUAAUAGAUAGUUAUAUCUCUCUUUUAUUCACUUGUUUAUAUUUGUGAUGCUUGCUCUUGUAAUGUUCGGCACUGGUUGUGCCCUCGCUAUUGUUUUGAUCAUGUAUGUAUUCAAGUUGAUUUCCUGGGAACUUGUUGUACAUGAUCCUGUUGUUUAGCCUUGGGCGGAUAGGGGAGGUGCUGUCCGUCCGACGUCUGUUCGACGCACCCGAACCGGACCAAAUUGGUAUCGGUCUCGGGGCGUGACAAUCUAUCUAUCUGUUUUCUUCUACUCAUGCCUGAUUGGACCUAGUGGAAAAGUCGGCGGGGUCGGCGGCCGAACCCACUAGGAACUUCUUGUAGUUCUCACCCCACCAUUUUUACAGAUCAAAGCGCAAGUGGGGCGGUCGAGGAUCGCGGCAAAGACAUAGCGCCCUAGGUAGUGGACACCCGUGCAUUAGUUGUACCUUUAUUUCAUCUUUUGUAUAUGACGAAAAGGAUGUAUUUUGGGAGAUAAAAUUGUAUAUAAAGACAGAUGUAAAGGAUUUGUUUUUAGAUGUAAUCAAGUUUAGUGAAUGGAUGUAAUAGAUAGGAUUUACUUUCACUUGCUUUUGUUACUUGCCUUCAUGCAAGUCAUGUAUAUUGUAAUUCUUUCUGGGCAAUUCUUUAUACAUGUCUAUGAACUUAUGGAGUCUUAGGCGGAUGAGGGAAGCUCUGUCCGUUCGGCAUCUGUGUACAUACCCGAACCGACCAAAUUGGCGGUCGCGGGGUGUGACAUCCUCUCAUGUUGCCUCGCCCUCCUCCGCCUCGCCGCCUCGCCCUCCUCCACUACCUCGCUCUCGCCAUAUCUCCAUCCGCGCCCACAAACACCUCCUCGCCCACCUCCGCCGCAUCGGCUUCUCCCUCGCCCUUUCCCACUUCUCCAUCCAUGCCCACCUUGAUUCCUCCCUACUGUCGCCGAAAUUGAGGGGUGACAAGGAUGCAGGAGGAGAAGGAGAGUAGGUGAAGAAGAAAAUGGAGACGAAUUGUGGCAGAUUGAGGCGCGGAAAAAAGAAGAGGAAAAGUGGUGGAUGAGCAAAAAUAGGGAGGAGACUAAGAUGGUGAGGGCAAAAUGGUUAUUUUGUCGUCACAGUUAACACCGUACCCCCUAUGAACAUUUUUCAUUUUACAAGGGGGCAACUUAUAGGUUUUUAAAUGAUAUGAAAAAAAAGUGAAAAAACGGGUAUUGGCAACGAGGUUUUAUGUAAUUUAGCCUUUCUGAAAUUAUAUGGUAAUGCAUUUGAAUUGAUGAUUUAUGAUAAGAAAUUAUCAAAAAGCAUAUGAACCUAAUAGAAACCAAAAAUUACAAAUUUCUAUUUUUAGCCGUGCAUCAGGUAGAGACAAAAAUAAAUAGUCUAAGUGGACAAGCUCUAUAAUGUUUCAUAAUAUCUUCCAUUGAAAAUCGAAGUUAACAUUCUUGAUAUAGGAAUCUAAACAUAUUUUUCAGAAGUUUUUUAACUUAUUUGAAUUAUAUUUAAUUGUUAAAUUAACAUGACCUUUCAUCCCCCAUUAGAAUUGUUAAACUUAAGAAGGCUUUAUGCCAGGUCAAAAUCAUUAGAAAAUCAUGGAAUUUAAGUCUAGAAAGAAUGAGAUAUCAAAUAAAAUGUUCGAUAGGCAAUGUUGAAAAGAAAGAAUUUAAGUCUAAAUCCUAUUAAAUUGAGCCUAAGUUCUAGUUGAUAACUUGUGAGAAAUCAUUACAUACUAGGUUUUAUUUCUUAUUAGCAAAAUAAUUAAUAAUUUAACAAAACAUUUACCGAAUUUUUUACACUUUACGAACCUUGUCGUCUUCACGCCACCGUUGCUACCAAUAUCGUGAGCACUCAUUAAAUAGUCGAAAAAAUUUACAUCGAAAUCAUUACGAAGCAUUCUCAUGUAACAACCAUAUGAUUGAUAAUUCUUCAACGGAUGCAAAUCUUUUUCAAUAUAUUCGUGAGCUAUAUAUUCAUUCGAAAUCGUAGGGCAUCGAAUUAUAAAUUUGAGACAAAAUUCUUCUCUGGUCCUAUUUACUAUUUUAUACGUUCUUAUCUCAAAUUAUUAAAUAUAGCAUCGAAACGAAUUGCGAUAAAUUUUUCUCGACCGUUAAUAUAUUAUGGACCACUAUUCAUCCCAUUGACACUUAGUGGCAUGCAACGAUUAGUCAUUUUAACUACACACAAUAAAAAAUCAUUAAAAUAAAAAUUAUUUCAAUCAAGAGGAUGCAAAAGAGAGAAGAUAUAUAUAUAUAUAUAUAUAUAUAUAUAUAUAUAGAGAGAGAGAGAGAGAGAGAGAGAGAGAGAGAGAGAGACCUAGGCUGGAAUACUAUCAAUAGCACCAACCUAUUGGUGCUAUUAAGUUUUCGGCCCUUAAAUGAAAAAAUAUGUACGAUUAGGAUGAUGUGGGCUCCCUAGGGUUGAGUAAGUUAUUGGUUUAAUAAUAUAAUCUAACGGAUGAAAGUAGUCGAAGUGUCACGCCCCGGACUAUAACGGAAGCACACCAAGCGCGUGCACAGAUCCGCCGUGUACACCAAACACCUCCGAUGCACACAAGGCGUCUACCACAAACAUAGAGAAUAGUAAUAACCAAUCCUAUCAUGAUAAUCAGAGCAAAACAUAACACCAUUAGAUACAUAAACUCGAACUAAGUACACCUUCUAGAUUACAACAUACAAACUAGAAAGUUCAAGUAAAGUACAAAAUUACAUUUUCAGACUAAACCAAAGCAAGCUUUCUACGGGUCCAUCUACCAAAACAUCGAGGAGGUUCUAGCUAGUCGCUAACCCCUUGCCACGAUCCCUAGCCUUUCCCGCUACGGAAGGCUCUGCAAACAAAACAAUCAACAUUUGGGUGUGAGAGCUAUUAAUCAAUAGUUCCCAGUGGGUAAACCGCCGAGAGUGGCGAAAUACACCACUAGGUCAACUGAGGCAUGAAUAAAACACAGCUAAUAGGAAAUGUAAAUACAACAAUUAAUUAAAAUGGUUCAACUAUAAACAUGCCUCAACAUGAUGUGUUUUCUAACAUGUCAGUUACAUCAAUCAUCACAUAUGCAGGCAUUGUAAUUCAUGCAAGUUAAAUACUUGUCCAUCUUUAAGUUAUAUGCCAUAAUUAAAGAAGAAUUCUUAGUCAACUAGCUAAAGUCAUUCUGUAGCUAUCGUUUCUAUGCUAUUAUAAAGAUGUCAUUGUCACUAAUGACUAACAAGAAUAUCCACUUCCUAGUAUGUUCAUUUACUAGGUAUGCCUCAACUAGUGUCACAAGGUAAUCUUUACUAACAUGUCCAUCUAAUGUUAAGUUUAGUUACACUUAGGGCCCGUUUGUUUUGGUGUAAGUGGAGUGAUGGAACUCAAGUUCCAUCACUUUCGUUUUUUGUUUUGAUGUAAGUGAAAAAUAUAAUGUAACUCAAGUUACGUUAGAGCUCCACUUCACCUACUCUCGACUUCCUCCUCUAAAGUGCCGAACUCAACUUUCACUACACUCAACCUCCUCUAAAAAAUUUAUUAAACAGUAAAACCUAAACUCUACUUCCUUUAUAAUGGGUUAGAAUUACCUUAUUUAUAAUAAAUUAGGAUUAUCUUUAAAUAAUAAUAAAAAAAUUAAUUAUAUAAUAGAUUAAAUUUUAUAGUGGUAAAUUUAUUACUAUAUUUAGGAGAUAAUAAGAUCCACUUACUUACAUCAAAACAAACAACGGAACUCAAAAAACUAAUUUUACCAGCACCAAGUUACAUCAAAACAAACAACAGAAGUGAUUGAAUUUAACUUUCAGGCGGUACAAGUUACGUCAAAACAAACAACAAAAAAAUAAUCACACUUCAGGAAAACUCAAACACCACUACACUUGACUUACGUUAAAUCUACAAAUACGUCAAUCCAAACGCCCCCUUACCCAAUUAACGAGGGACAUACAUGUGGUAAAGUCCCGGCUCAUGCCGUGCCUAAUCGCCCUAUGGUAGUUAACACUCCCCGCGACAAUCCAUUUCGGUGCUCAGUCCCGCAUGGGCGAUCAGUCGUCGCAAGACUAACUCCGGAGUGCUGGCUUGUAGGGAGCUACCCUCACAAGCUUGUGCGAAUGAGCACAUUGGCAAGCAAGCGUGAUCCAUAGCAUAGUGUUCACAAGUUCAUCACGUCUAAAACAUGGAAUCUCAAUAUCGACACAAAAUCGGCGACUAACAUAAAAGUCAUAUGUCAUUCUCAAUUACUUGGUGACAUAUUUUUACCAAUAAAUAGUAUGACUUAAGCAUGUAAAUGAUUUAUAUCAUAUUGAAGAUUAACGGGCUACACCCACAUAUCAACAACAGUAAACUCUUGGUCGUCAUGUCUAAAAUAUGGUAUGUCCUCUAACGACCCAUAAGUCGGAGUCUAUGUCACAAUGUCCAGUACGUUCUAGUCAUUUAACUAGGUCAUAUACAAUAACACGAAGUUCAUGCUAGUUCUAUCACGUAAAUGCCAUUAUUAACUUGUCUACACAAGUAUCCUACAAAUGAUUAAUCAACAACACUUUCCACAAUAUAAGGGUAUGACUCUGCUAUAUGUGAUAUGCAUAGAAAUUCUGUCGUCAUGUCUACAACAUGGAAUUGCAUAAGUUAACUCAAGAGUUAAGCACCGUAUUACAUUAUCAACUUAGUUGUUUUUCUAAACUAAGUUUCAUACUCAUAGCUCUACGUCCAUUCACUGAAUGAUACUCAAAUUAACUUGUCUACACAAGUUUACAAGUAACUUAUAAUGCAUGCUUAACAAGCAAGUUAUCCACGUAUACUAAACAGGUAUCAUAACCUUUUCACUACUACAUAGAGAUUCAACUUUAUCUUAUGUAAUAUGCAUGACUCAUGUAUUCACAAAACCCUUUACGAUAUAUUCAACAUGAAUAUGUAAGAAUUUUCACUUUAUAGCAUUAAAGAAGACAUAGGGAGAGUUUACUCAUUUCGGUAAGAUCAAAUCCACCAGAUACUCUUCGAACUCCUUCGAUUGCUCAAACAAAGGUGCCUUCUAGCCUUUAAUCACCCUAAAAACAGUUCUAACUUAAUUAGGAGCUUUUAAUAAGUCUCCUACCGAAAUCCUCAGAAAUUCACCUAAAAUAGGUAGAAGUAUACCUUAUAUGGAGAAAGCCUCUACUCUACACUCCACUUAAGGCUGGGUACUUCAAUUCCAACCUAAACAAGAGUUAGACCACAGCCAAUUAAGUUCUAUAAGCUCAGCUAAGGGCAUGUUUGGUAACUCGAAAGUCGGCGAAGUGGAAAAAUUCACUUUUAUAAAAGUGACUUUUCAGUUCGAUUGUUUAGUUGCUAUAAAGUAAAAAAAUAAAACUAUAAUUUUAUAUUUUUUUAUUAUUAAAUUAUAUAUAAAGAGGUAAAAAUGUAAACAAACGACUUAUACUUGCAAUUUAAAUUAAAAAUUUAAAUUUAAAUUAAUAUUUAGAAUUCAAAGUUAUAUUUUAAAAUUUAAAUUUAAACUUAAAUCUGAGUUGAAUUUAUAAUUAAAAUUUAAGACAUAAAUUUAAUUUACAAUUUGAAUUUAAAAUUUAAGUUAUAACUUAUAAGUAAAAUUAAAUUUUAAAAUAAAAGUUCAAUACAAAAUUUGAACAACAUUUAUUCAAAUUUUGAAUUUAUAAUUUGAAUCAUAUAUUAAUUCACACUUCGAUCUUAAAUUCUGAAUUCAAAUAUAAAUUCACAAUUUUAAUAUUUAAAUUUAAAUUAAAAUAUGAGUUUAAAUCACAAUCGAUCGAACAUUUGAAUUCAUAAUUUGAAUCCAAAUUCAGACUAAAACUAUUAUAUGAAGUAAAUGUAAAUAACAAAUUUAAAUUUGAAUUUGAAUUUUAAGUUAAAAAUUAAAUUUCAGUCAAUAAUUUGAAUUAUAUUUGGAACAAUUUGAAUUCAAAUUUCAAAUUGAAGUUCUUACUAAAAAUAAUUGAUUAAAAUUUAAAUUUAAAUUCUAGAAUUCAACUUUAAAUAAAAAUAAAUUUUAAAAUUUAAAUUAAAUAUAAAUCAUAAAUUUGAAUUUAAAAUUUUAUGUUGAAUUUUAAUUCACAAAUAAAAUUCAAAAUGUGAUCAUAAUUUUAAUUCAAUUUAAAGUGAAAUUAAACUUUAAAAUUGUCAGCCCCCGGGGUCCCUUUUCAGUUAAAACAAAGCGGAAAAAGCGUCUGAAUUUUUUUUUUUUUUGAAAACCUGACCCCAGGGUAUGCCAGACCGCCCACAAAUACAGGAAAUCCACUAUUCACACGGACAGAGUCUCCCCCUGUAUUUGCACGGCGUCGAUUGCCAACCAUCACAAUAAGGCACACCAUGCCGAUAUCACCAGCCGAACCGCACAUGAAUAUAGCAGGNNNNNNNNNNNNNNNNNNNNNNNNNNNNNNNNNNNNNNNNNNNNNNNNNNNNNNNNNNNNNNNNNNNNNNNNNNNNNNNNNNNNNNNNNNNNNNNNNNNNUUGUAGACGCCUUAUAUGUGUAGACAUAUGGCGGGUCUGGGCACGCUACCGGGAGGGCCUCCGCCGGUCCCGGGGCGUGACAUAUAGAGAAUGUGAAACGAUAUCUCUAUUUGAUCUAAAGAGGCUAAUUUGUAGAAAAUAGGUUUAGAACGAAAUCCGAGCCUCUAGGGUUUUUCAAACAUGUAUUCUUAUGAUGCUUAAUCAGUUAGAGAAUCCCAAUAGGUUAUUUAUAGACUUUAGAAUCAAAACGGAGUAGGAUUAGAAAGUUUUUUUCCAAAAUCAGCACCUUGUACCAGAACAAGAAAAGCUGUCCAGGGUACAGCAUGACGGAAGAUUUUUCUGCGAAGCUUCUGUACCCUGGACAGACUGCAUCUUGUACCGGAACAGGGCUUGUACCGGUACAGCCAUGAUGGUUGUACCGGAACAACCAUCAAACAAUCUGCGCAAACGCUGAUGGCUGUACCCUGGACAGAAAACUCUUGUACCGGUACAACAAUGCAAUUUUCGCUGAAAAUGCAUUGUUUCGAGUUUUACAAUCUCUUAGAAACUUUCUAAUCAAUUAUAAGUUGAAAACAUGAUUCUAAAAUUUAUAAUUAAGUAUGAAUCACCAUAAACAAGAUUUAAAGCUUACCUAAGCAUCGUGAUUCAUGUUUUACGUGUUUUGCGUCUUUUCCGAUUCUUCGAAGUCUUGGAUUCUUCGAUCUUCAAUACUCCGCUCCGGACUUCUUCAAGACUCCAACUCGACCAACGAAACCUGCCAACACAUAGGACCUAACAAUCUCCCCCUUUGGCAAUUUCGUGACAAAACACACACAAACUCACAAAUUACACUUGAAAGAAAAAACGAAGUUCAAUGUCAUCACCAAAGCAUCGAACCCCUCGCGUGUAAUCCAAAUACAAUUUGAAACUCAAAAUUAUAUCAAAACUCAUAAAACGGACUCUAUGACUUAGACGCAACUAGGAGUCUUGAAGUCUUGAUUUCCUACAAAACAAUUCAUUCAAAAAUGAUUAGCACUAAAUUCUUAUACCUUCUCCCCCUUUGUUCACAUCUCCCCCUUUGUCCUUGGACUCAUCAUCCUCUGCUUCAGUUCAAUGCCUGUUCAUCCAUGCUCUCCCCCUUCAUCUACGCUCUCCCCCUUUUUGUCAAAAAUUGCCAAAAGAAAACAAAUAGAAAGAGAAAACAUACUAGAAAAACAUGAGAGUAGUCUAGUCAUAGUUACAGGCCUAAAACAAAAGUAAAAACAUACUACAGAAAGAUAAGCAAGCAAAUAUAAAACAUCAUCCUAAACAGCAAAUGCAGUGAAAGAGAAAGACUAAGCUUGACAAAGAAUCUCAGAUUUCGAAAAAUUUGCUUUAAAAAUCCAUCAAAUUAAAUUAAUUUCAAAUAAUUUAAGGCUUUUACUCCAAGAAUCAUUAUAAUGACAAUAAGAUAUUAUAAAAUUUCAAAAUACAUCAAAACAUCAAAAUUUCAUUAUCAAAAAUAAUUUAAUGAUUCAAAACCAUCAAGAUGUAAGUUGAUGAAAAAUGAUUUUUAGAAAUUCAACAAAAAUUGACACCAAUUUGUCGUAACACGUUCGAAAUAAAGAUUUAACUAAUAUGGCAUCGGGGGUGGCUCUUUGAGCAUCUUUUCAACUUACCACCUUAUAACUCCGAAAAUUCUAAAAUAUUCAAUUUUUUUUUCACCUUUUUCGGUUACUCAAUUCAAUCUUCAUGUGGUAGCUUCACACACUUGCCGGACGACCGGGUUGGUAGCUCUUUCCUACAUGUGGUGGUAGUUUUCACACUCCAUUUAUGAUGUAACUCUUUCCACAUCUUUUAAACAUAGGAGUUUCUUUUUCUCCUUUUUUUAUUUUUAAACAAUUUCAAACUCUCCCUAAAUUAGACAAUCUCACAGUUGAAAAUAAUUUUGACGAAUUUUAGUCAAUUAGAGAAUAUCCAUUCAUCAUAUCCAACACUCACAACCAAGAUGAAUUAAUCACCAAAAAAUCAAAUUUGAUUUCAAANNNNNNNNNNNNNNNNNNNNNNNNNNNNNNNNNNNNNNNNNNNNNNNNNNNNNNNNNNNNNNNNNNNNNNNNNNNNNNNNNNNNNNNNNNNNNNNNNNNNNNNNNNNNNNNNNNNNNNNNNNNNNNNNNNNNNNNNNNNNNNNNNNNNNNNNNNNNNNNNNNNNNNNNNNNNNNNNNNNNNNNNNNNNNNNNNNNNNNNNNNNNNNNNNNNNNNNNNNNNNNNNNNNNNNNNNNNNNNNNNNNNNNNNNNNNNNNNNNNNNNNNNNNNNNNNNNNNNNNNNNNNNNNNNNNNNNNNNNNNNNNNNNNNNNNNNNNNNNNNNNNNNNNNNNNNNNNNNNNNNNNNNNNNNNNNNNNNNNNNNNNNNNNNNNNNNNNNNNNNNNNNNNNNNNNNNNNNNNNNNNNNNNNNNNNNNNNNNNNNNNNNNNNNNNNNNNNNNNNNNNNNNNNNNNNNNNNNNNNNNNNNNNNNNNNNNNNNNNNNNNNNNNNNNNNNNNNNNNNNNNNNNNNNNNNNNNNNNNNNNNNNNNNNNNNNNNNNNNNNNNNNNNNNNNNNNNNNNNNNNNNNNNNNNNNNNNNNNNNNNNNNNNNNNNNNNNNNNNNNNNNNNNNNNNNNNNNNNNNNNNNNNNNNNNNNNNNNNNNNNNNNNNNNNNNNNNNNNNNNNNNNNNNNNNNNNNNNNNNNNNNNNNNNNNNNNNNNNNNNNNNNNNNNNNNNNNNNNNNNNNNNNNNNNNNNNNNNNNNNNNNNNNNNNNNNNNNNNNNNNNNNNNNNNNNNNNNNNNNNNNNNNNNNNNNNNNNNNNNNNNNNNNNNNNNNNNNNNNNNNNNNNNNNNNNNNNNNNNNNNNNNNNNNNNNNNNNNNNNNNNNNNNNNNNNNNNNNNNNNNNNNNNNNNNNNNNNNNNNNNNNNNNNNNNNNNNNNNNNNNNNNNNNNNNNNNNNNNNNNNNNNNNNNNNNNNNNNNNNNNNNNNNNNNNNNNNNNNNNNNNNNNNNNNNNNNNNNNNNNNNNNNNNNNNNNNNNNNNNNNNNNNNNNNNNNNNNNNNNNNNNNNNNNNNNNNNNNNNNNNNNNNNNNNNNNNNNNNNNNNNNNNNNNNNNNNNNNNNNNNNNNNNNNNNNNNNNNNNNNNNNNNNNNNNNNNNNNNNNNNNNNNNNNNNNNNNNNNNNNNNNNNNNNNNNNNNNNNNNNNNNNNNNNNNNNNNNNNNNNNNNNNNNNNNNNNNNNNNNNNNNNNNNNNNNNNNNNNNNNNNNNNNNNNNNNNNNNNNNNNNNNNNNNNNNNNNNNNNNNNNNNNNNNNNNNNNNNNNNNNNNNNNNNNNNNNNNNNNNNNNNNNNNNNNNNNNNNNNNNNNNNNNNNNNNNNNNNNNNNNNNNNNNNNNNNNNNNNNNNNNNNNNNNNNNNNNNNNNNNNNNNNNNNNNNNNNNNNNNNNNNNNNNNNNNNNNNNNNNNNNNNNNNNNNNNNNNNNNNNNNNNNNNNNNNNNNNNNNNNNNNNNNNNNNNNNNNNNNNNNNNNNNNNNNNNNNNNNNNNNNNNNNNNNNNNNNNNNNNNNNNNNNNNNNNNNNNNNNNNNNNNNNNNNNNNNNNNNNNNNNNNNNNNNNNNNNNNNNNNNNNNNNNNNNNNNNNNNNNNNNNNNNNNNNNNNNNNNNNNNNNNNNNNNNNNNNNNNNNNNNNNNNNNNNNNNNNNNNNNNNNNNNNNNNNNNNNNNNNNNNNNNNNNNNNNNNNNNNNNNNNNNNNNNNNNNNNNNNNNNNNNNNNNNNNNNNNNNNNNNNNNNNNNNNNNNNNNNNNNNNNNNNNNNNNNNNNNNNNNNNNNNNNNNNNNNNNNNNNNNNNNNNNNNNNNNNNNNNNNNNNNNNNNNNNNNNNNNNNNNNNNNNNNNNNNNNNNNNNNNNNNNNNNNNNNNNNNNNNNNNNNNNNNNNNNNNNNNNNNNNNNNNNNNNNNNNNNNNNNNNNNNNNNNNNNNNNNNNNNNNNNNNNNNNNNNNNNUUUUCUUUCGAAGCCUUUGCACGCUUCUUCUCUUUAGAUGUAGAAGAUUUAGAAAAAGAUUGUCGCUUAGAUGAUGAAGCCUUGUCCGAGUUGUUCUUCUUUCGGAAAUUCCGACGAAACUUCUUCGUUAGAAGUGCAAGUUGAUGUUCGAAGUCGGCAAGAGAAACAUCUCCGUCGGAAUCCGAGUCUCCGUCUUCCUCUUUUGUCGAUUUCAAUGCAACCCCUAUGCUUUUAGAAGAAGACUUGACAAAAGAUUGAUUAGUAGGAAAAGUCAUCUCAUAAGUUUGCAAAGCACCUACUAAUUCUUCGACUUUCAUCUCGUCCGGAUGCUUAACCGUUUCGAUCGCAGCAACCUUUGCCCGAAAGCGUUCCGGAAGAGUUCGAAGAAUCUUUCUAAUAACCUUAGAAUCCGGGAUUUUCUCUCCCAAGUUAACACAUGUAUUCACAAUGUCUUGUAGACGUGUAUAGUACUCGGUAAAGGUCUCGUUUUCAUCCAUAGAAAUAGAAUCAAACUUGCUAGUUAGCAUUUGUAAUUUUUAGACCUUUACUAAGCUUGUUCCGCGUAACUUGUAGAGUAUCCCAAAUUUCCUUUGCCGUUUCGCAUGCCGAAACCCGAGUAAACUCCGUUUGCGAUAAAGCGUUGAAUAAAGCAUUAAUUCCUUUACCGUUAAACGAAGAUGACUCGUUUUCAUCUUUUGACCAUUUGUUCCGUGGUUUAGGAACGGUAGCGUUAUUGACAACUUCAGUAGGGUGCUCCCAACCAAAUUCAAUAGCUUUCCAAACACGCUAAUCGAUUGCAAUUAGAAAAGCUCUCAUGCGAACUUUCCAAUAGGCAUAAUUCGUGCCAUCGAAGAGUGCAGGACGAUUAACGUUACCGCCUUCGGCCAUUCGAAAACAAUAUAUCUAGAUCCCUCUCUGAUACCAAUUGAAAGAUUUGAGUAGCCCAAGGAUCUAUCUAGAUUGUAUCUAUCACCUAGAGGGGGGUGAAUAGGUGAACGGCCAAAAAACCACAAAUCUCGAUGCAAUAAAAAUAAAUGCGGAAAAUAAAAAGCACACCGAGAUUUACGUGGGAAAACUCCAACUUGGAGAAAAACCCACGGGACCAACACGCGAAAAAAUAAUUCACUAAGAGAAAAGAUUACAAGGUGAUUACCGACUCCACGGACUCAACCUCUCUUAGCCUCCUAUGAAUCUUCGCGCUAUCCUCCGGGUGUCCACGCCCUCACGUUCGAAUCCACGAACGCCUCCACUUCGAAUCCACUAAGCUUCAAUCAUGCCGAAUCCACGACGCCACUCGAAUCCACGAGCCAACGAUCCGAAUCCACGAACCGCCUUUGUUCACGCCGAAUCCACGACGCCGUUCAUGAAGAGCACAUGAUUAUGGUGAUCCUUCGCUUAGGAGUAUCGUAGAAAACCAGGGAAUAGAACUCCAAGCGAAGCGGAGAUCAAAUCGACAUAUAGAGAAUGCGAAACGAUAUCUCGAUUUGAUCUAAAGAGGCUAAUUUGUAGAAAAUAGGUUUAGAAUGAAAUCCGAGCCUCUAGGGUUUCUCAAACAUGUAUUCUUAUGAUGCUUAAUCAGUUAGAGAACCCCAAUAGCUUAUUUAUAGACUUUAGAAUCAAAACGGAGUAUGAUUAGAAAGUUUCUUUCCAAAAUCAGCACCUUGUACCGAAACAAGGAAAGCUGUCCAGGGUACAGCAUGACGGAAGAUUUUUCUGCGAAGCUUUUGUACCUUGGACAGACUACAUCUUGUAUCGGAACAGGGCUUGUACCGGUACAGCCAUGAUGGUUGUACCGGAACAACCAUCAAACAAUUUGCGCAAACGCUGAUGGCUGUACCCUAGAUAGAAAACUCUUGUACCGGUACAACAAUGCAAUUUUCGCUGAAAAUGCAUUGUUUCGAGUUUUACAAGCUCUCAGAAACUUUCUAAUCAAUUACAACUUGAAAACAUCAUUCUAAAAUCUAUAAUUAAGUAUGAAUCACCAUAAACAAGAUUUAAAGCUUACCUAAGUAUCGUGAUUCAUGUUUUACGUGUUUUGCGUCCUUUCCGAUUCUUCGAUCUUCAAUACUCCGCUCCGGACUUCUUCAAGACUCCAACUCGACCCACGAAACUUGCCAACACAUAGGACCUAACAGCUCCCGAGCAAUACGAACCUUGUCCUCAGCUUCCUGGAGCACAUCAGGGCCUAAAGCCAGUCUCUCGCCGGCUUCACUCCAAUGAAGGGGCGAUCUACACUUCCGUCCAUAAAGUGCUUUGAAGGGUGCCAUGUUGAUACUUGCUUGAUAACUGUUGUCAUAAGCAAACUCUGCCAUCGGUAGAUGCUGCGACCAUCCUCCCUGGAAGUCUAUCACAUAUGCUCGGAGCAUAUCCUCUAAAGUUUGAAUAGUGCGCUCCAACUGCCCAUCACUCAGAGGGUGGAAAGCAGUGCUGAAAUCCAAUCGAGUGCCUAAGGCGUCCUGCAGACUCCUCCAAAAGUGAGACACAAAUCGGGUGUCUCGAUCAGAUACAAUCGAAGCAGGCACUCCGUGAAGUCGCACAAUCUCAUCUAGGUACACUUGUGUGAGCUUCUCCCCAGUCCAAGUCGUACGAAUAGGUAUGAAGUGCGCCGACUUAGUCAACCUAUUCACGAUCACCAAAUAGUAUCAUGCCCGGCCUGAGAGCGAGGCAAUCCCAUCACAAAAUCCAUCGUGAUCUUCUCCCAUUUCCACACUCGCAUCGGCAAACUCUGAAGUUUUCCCGCUGGCAAUCGUGCUCCGCCUUUACUCGUUGGCAAGUUAGACAACGAGCUACAAACUCGCCAAUAUCCCUUUUCAUCCCGGGCCACCAGUAGAGCAAGUUUAAGUCCUUGUACAUCUUGGUGCCUCCCGGAUAUAUAGCAUAGGGUGCCCGGUGUGCCUCUUGAAGAAUAUCUUCUUUAAUUUUCGAAUCCGCCGGUACACAUAACCGUCCACGAAAACACAUCAACCCUUGAUCAACCACAAGGAAAUCGCCGGUGCAACCAUUAACCAUUUUAUCUCUAAUCUUUUGCAAUUCCACAUCGGAAACUUGCUUUUCUUUAAUUCUAUCCAAUAAUGUAAGUUGCACUACCAAGGUCAUCAACCUCAAGGGCGUGUCAGAAGUCACCACCUCCAACUCCAACCGCUUUAUCUGCUCGAUCAACUGCAGUUGAGCAACAACAUGCAUCGCUAAGUUUUCUAUCGAUUUCCGACUUAGCGCAUCUGCCACCACGUUAGCCUUGCCCGGGUGGUAAAUAAUAGUCAGAACAUAAUUCUUGAGCAGCUCCAACCAUCUGCGUUGUCUCAAGUUCAACUCCUUCUGAGUGAAAAGAUACUUCAAGCUCUUGUGAUCGAUGUAUACUUCACACUGCUCGCCAUAAAGAUAGUGGCGCCAUAGCUUCAAUGCAAAAAACUACGGCCGCCAACUCUAGAUUGUGCGUAGGAUAGUUCCUUUCAUAAUCCUUCAAUUGGCGAGAAGCAUAUGUGAUCACCUUACCAUCCUGCAUCAAAACGCAACCCAAUCCAUUAAAUGAAGCAUCACUACAAACCACAUACCCUGCUCCGGCAAUCGGCAGGGUUAGGAUCGGGGCGGCCGUCAAUCUUUGCUUCAACUUUUGGAAGCUUCUUUCGCACGCAUCGUUUCAAAUGAAUUUGACGCCUUUAUGCGUGAGUCUCGUGAGGGGAGUAGAAAGCUUAGCAAACCCCUCGACAAAUCUCCGGUAGUAACCGACCAAUCAAAGAAAGCUCUGUAUCUCCGUGACGCUCGUCGGUCUCGGCCAAUCCUUGAUAGCCUCAAUUUUCUUGGGAUCUACGGCUAUACCCGAUCCCGAAAUCAAAUGUCCAAGGAAUGCAACCUCUCGAAGCCAAAAUUCACACGUUUUCAACUUAGCAAAAAGCUCCCUUUCCGGAAGUAUUUGAAGUACAAGCCUCAAAUAUUCCUCGUGAUCUACAUCACUUCGGGAAUAAACCAAGAUGUUGUCGAUGAACACCACAACGAAUCUGUCUACAUAAGGCUUAAAAAUACGGUUCAUUAGAUCCAUAAAAGCUGCCGAGGCAUUAGUAAGCUCAAACGGCAUAAUAGUGAACUCAUAAUGCCCAUACCGUAUUCUAAAAGCCGUCUUCGAUACAUCCUCGGGUUUGAUCUUUAACUGGUGGUAUCCCGACUGCAAGUCGAUCUUGAAAUACACACACGAUCCCUGAAGCUGAUCAAAUAAGUCGUCAAUCCUCAGCAACGGAUACUUAUUCUUGAACGUGACUUUAUUAAGUUCACGAUAAUCCACACAUAGGCGCAGUGAUCCGUCAUUCUUCUUGACGAACAAAACAGGUGCUCCCCAAGGCGAAACGCUCAGUCGAAUGAAGCCUUUGUACAGAAGAUCCUGCAGCUGUGCUCUCAGCUCUUUCAGCUCCGCCGGUGCCAUCCUAUAGGGUGCCUUUGAGAUUGGGGUAGUCAGAGGGACGAGAUCUACUACAAACUCAAUCUCUCUAUCAGGUGGCAUACCGGGUAGCUCGGCUGGAAACACAUCCAGAAACUCCCGCACCACCGGGAUAUCCUCAAUCCUAGGGGUAUCAUCAUCGCCCCUCAGCACAAUACUGGCCAAAUAGGCUAUGCAACCUCUGCUGAUCAGCUGCCUAGCUCGAGACGAGCUGAUCGUCAUCGCGAAAAGCGAACUCCAGCAUCCUCUAAAUACAAUCUCAGUCUGCCCCGGUUCUCUAAAAGUAACCGUGCGAUUCUUGCAAUCGAUCGUGGCAUAGUACUUGGUCAACCGGUCCAUACCCAAUACCAUAUCGAACUCCCCCAGCCUGCGCAAAGCUAGCAGAUCCACGGGCAUAAUCCAAUCCCCUAGUCGAACAGGGCAACUGGAUCAAAACUCUCGAAUAUUCAAAGUGUGGUCGGGUACUACAACCUGUCCCGGAUGCAACAAAGAAACCAAAGGGAUGCCAUGCAACUCGGCAAACAGCCGAUCUAUGAAUGAAUAUGAUGCACCGGUAUCAAAUAAUGCAUGAACUCGAAUGCCAUUUAAUAAAAUAAUACCUGCAACCACAUCCUCGGCUGCUGCCGCCUUCUCGGUCUGAGCAGCAUACAUGCGCCCACUUGGGGCCUGUCGAGAUCCCUCGCUCUAACGCUGGAUGGAUGACCGUCUAGGCUGGUAUUGUGCCGAUGGAGUCCCCUGGCUGGCGGCUGGUAGAGCCAGUGCCGAUGCAAUCGAUGGUGCCCGUGACGAAUCCCUCGGGCACUCGGUCCGGAAGUGGCCCUUCUGGCUACACAGAAAACACCUCCCUCCCCACUACGGAUACUGCGGUGGAAUAUGAAGACCAUCACAGAUCACGCACAGGGGAGGUCGGCGACGAUCAGAACUUCCUCGCUGCGCUACCGAGCUGCGCCCACGCUGCUGGCUCCUAGGGUGCUUCGGCGGCCUCCUAAGUGCGUCUGACUCGCACCCUCAGCCGCGGGCCUUUUGCCCUUACCCUUGUCCAAGCCUUCUCGCCGCUCCUGAACAUCUGUCGCGCCGCUCUACAUAAUGAGCGCGCGAUUCACCAUCUCCCGAUAGGUUUGGAGGUUAGAAUAUUGCACAGACCGGAAGAUCGACGGUCGCAAUCCUCGCUCGAGGAUACGGCCUUAACCUCGUCGUCCCGCACGACGAAAGGCACACAAUGUAGAAGCCGAGAAAACUCCCUCUCGAACUCGGCUACUGCUGGGUCUCCCUGGCGCAAGUUGCGCAAGUCCUGCUCCAUUUUCCUCUUGACGCUGUCCGGAAAGUACUGCGCCAAUAGAAUCUCCUUGAACUUCUUCCAAGUAAUGGCCGCAAGAUCAGUGUUGGGGCUCUCCUGGAUGUCCAACCACCAACGGUAGGCCUCGCCGUCCAAGUGGUGUGUGGCGAGCCAAAAUCGGUCCCUCUUCUCUACAAAGGUGUCGCGGAAGAGCUUCUCCAUGUGCAUCAACCACUUUUUCACGAUCAAGUGGUCGACCUUCUCGCCAUCGAAGAUCCGGGGGGUGCACCUCCUGAACUCAUUGAGGUGCUCCAUAAGUCGGUCCCGCUCUGCCCCCUCGACUAUUCGGGAAAAACUGUCCCCACCAGAGGCACCUGAACAGCUGGUGCUACAAAGUCCUCCUCCUGAGGCACGACCACGGGCGCCGCACGCGAAGAUCCGGGUGCAGGUGAAGGCGCCCUCGGUGCGACGUCCCCAACAGGUGCAGGCGGCGAAGGAACCGAAGCCUCUCUAGAAGCUGCCUGCUGUAGAAGAAGGUCCGCGAGCCGCUUCAUCCGUGCCCCCUGUCGGCACGCCGCAUCAGCCUUCUGCUGAGGAGCCGCUGUCUGCUGCGACACCAAGUCGGUGAGGGCCGCAAGCUGGCCCCUCAACUCACGGACCUUGCUGGAUCCGGAGGUAGCGGAGGUCUCGACCUCCUCAAGGUAUGCCGCAUUGUCCGCUCUGGCAGAUUGAGAACGUGUCAUCGGCAUAACACUACAACAUCAUAAAAGCGCAAGUUAGUAAAACCCACGCUAUCGAAUCCCCACUCAAGAAGAUAAUACCCAAAUCAUGCGAAAGUAAAGAAGAGUUCUUCACUACUAACUCCCGAUGUUACGUUGUAGGCCGCCAACGUAAUCCUCCGCGAAGUUAGAAGCUAUACACUUCGAUUUAAGUCCACUUUCUAGAGUUAUCAAGAAUACCGAAUCAUGAUACUUUUGCUUGCAAGUCAAAUAGACAUUGUCUCUCACGAGCCUAUUUUCUAUAGUCCAACCGGCCUAAGGUUUGCUAGGUCCAUUAAGACUCAACCCUAGGCUCUGAUACAAAAUUAAUCUGUCACGUCCCGGGACCCAGUGGAAGCCCGCCCGGCAUGUGUCCAGACCCGCCAUACGUCUAACACAUAUAAGGCGUCUACAAUAAAUCGACAAAUAAAGCAAUAGAAGAAAGACAUCUAGAAGUAUCAGAGCAAAGUACAACUAGAUUCUACAAAAUAGAAGUAAGCAAAAGGCUAAAAUCCACUAAAAGUAAACCAUAAGUAGUACAUCCGAAAUCCAAAGUACAAAUACUAAAAGUAACACAUAGGUGGUCUCUAUACAUGGAUACAAAAUCUCUCUCUCUCACAACAACAAACAAUAGGAGAGAAAAUUACCUAAGCAAAAAGUAAAUCCUUGCUAUCUAGCUACGCGACCCCUUCGCUGAGAUCCCGUGCCUCCACCGGUGCUGAAGGCUCUGAAAGAAAACUAUAAAACAGAGGGCGUAAGAACUAUUAAAUAAUAGUUUCCAGUGGGCAAUUACUGACUUCAGUACAAUGCGCCACUAGGCCCAAAAACUAAGCAGGUAAGUAAGAAUAAACAAGCAAUAUGAAUGACAAGUAUUUAAAUAUGAAUACUUACUAAACCAGGAUAUCUCUACUUAGCAUGAAUUUACAUAAGUAAUAAAGCUGCUGUAAUAUGAAUGUCCAAGGUUACAACUAACAUAAUGUCCACAAGCUAAAUAGUAAAAUGUCAUUGUUUACUAUUCUAGUCAAUUUUCGCUUGGUAUACUAAGUCACCAAUGUUCCAAUCCUGUAGGACCUACCCGUGGGUUGUCCGGCCUGCACCGUGCCUAAUGGCCCCGUGGUAGUCAACAUCUCCACUCUAGGAAUGAGCCUCCCCUACGGCAUCCCAUUUCGGCGCCCAAUCCCGCACGGGCGAGCAUGUGUCGCAAUGGCUAUCUCCGGAUUGCCGGCUUGUGGGGAGCGACCCUCACAAGCAUAUGCGAAUGAGCACAAUGGCAAGCAAGUGUAAAAGUCCUCUCAAGUCCUAAGUCAUCAUGUCUAAAACAUAGAAUGUAGCAAAUCUCUCAAUGGCCUAUCACUAUGUCAUCAUAUCUAAAACAUGGAAUGUAGUCGAUGUCACAAUGGCCUAUCAAAAUGUCACUAUGUUGCAGUUCAACUGUUUACUAGUUUGGGUGCCUCUUUAUGGCACUUUUGUCCAAUGUGUUUAAACAUGAGUUUUGUGUCCCAGAACACUUAAUUCUAACCAUUUCCAACACAUGAGACAUAUUCCAAUUUACAAAAUAGAAUACUAAUCAUGUGCAUGAGUAAUACACUUAGCCCUCAACUACAUAGAGUCAAUUUUUCAUAAAACAUAACGCAUACAUUUUAAAUAUUCUAAAAUUCAUAAAAAUUCUAUCAAGCAUGAAUAUGCAGACAUUUCGAUAAAACAACAACUUUUAACCACUUAGGAGAAGAUUUCUCCUGUUCCAAUGAAGCCAAACCCACCGUGACUUCCCGAAACCCUUCGUUUGUGCCGACGAAGGUGCCCACUACUCUCCUAGUACCUAAAGAUAACAAAAGGAGGCAUACACGAACGUUACGAACAAUCAAUUGCUCAAACAUUAAGCAACUCAAGCAAAGGUGAAGGAAACUCACCGAAUGCGAAGAAACCUAUCACGAUCUCCAAAUGGGAGUUAGAGGCCCUCAAAUCCAACAUAAACAAAAGUUCUAAUAAGAUCAAUUGGGCUCCAAAACCCUCAAAUCCAAAAUCCCCAUUACUAACCCUAUUAUGCUCAAUCUAGGGUUUCAUUUAGUCAAAGCUACUAAAACAUGAAUCAAAAAGUAGAUUAGGCUUACUAACCUCACAAGAGCUCCAAAACAAGACUCCACGUAAGCUAGGGUUGAAGAUCCUCCCUCCACAAAGCUCCAAUCACGAGCUCAAGGCUUCUCCCAUGGUGAAAACUAAUAAGAAGCAAGAAGAGGCAAAAAUGAGGAGAUCAAAACUAGCUAAAACCAUCAAAAAUGGAGAAGGAAUCAAAGGGAAGGAGGCUCACCUUGUUCUCCACUGGUUAAGGCUCAAAAGAGCUCUCAAAGGGGGCUGGGGUGGGUUAUAUAGAGUUUGCAACAAUUGCAAAUACACCCCUCCACAAAAAUAGCUCGUUCUGCAUUGUGUACCGGUACACAGGAAAGUGUACCGGUACAAACCCUGCGAGACAGCAAACCCGAGCCUCGGGUUGGCCAUUCACCACAUUUGUACCGGUACAACCAUCAAGGUGUACCGGUACACUUUCUGUACCGGUACAACCAUCAAGGUUGUACCGGUACACAACCCUGCUGAGGCAACCCGAGAGCAGACCCAAAAAUCUAAUCUUUUGGAUUUUGAUACUAAGUUUUAAAUCUCAAUUCUCGAGAUGCGUGCCAUGGGUCGGAACUCUGUCUACGACCCUCUAGAAUAUCUGGAAAAGCUCGGAACAUAGAUCAAACACUCGAAUCUCGCAAUUUGCAAAGUUCGAGUGUGUUACAUCAUCACUCCAAAAUGCAUCUCACAACCUAUACAUCAUCUACUCUCAUAUAUGUAGGUAUCCCUAAUGCAGUAGGAGAGCUACUAAUGCUAGAGCGCUAAGCCCUUACCGCGAUCCUCGCCCAGAGCGCUCGUACUCGGCCCUGCAACAAAGUGGGGUGAGAACUAUUGUCCAUAGUUUCCAGUAGGUUCGGCCGCCGACUCCGCCGAUCUCCCCACUAGGUCCAAGUGGGCACAAGUAGAUAGAUAGAUAGAUAGAUAUGUGAAAAUAGUAACGACAUAGUAAGAAAGCUAUACUAUUAUGCCCAAAUCAUAUAUAAUGUAUGCAUGCACAAUGUGAUAGGUAAUCAGCUAACAUGCCACUAUGUCGAAGAAGUAAUGCUAUUUACUUGUUCAUCAAAUCUCUUGGCUUACCCAAAGGCUCGCCCACGACUCACAUAGCCAUCUCAUAAGGUAAGGAGACUCAACUUGCUAAACAAACUCGAGACCGCCUGCGGGACCCAAAAGGCUAUCCCCGGGACCCAAAAAGGCUAUCCCUCGUGUGACAAACUCCGGAGCGCACGCUUGUGUGGAGCGACCACUACAAGCUCAACAGACAGUGAGUAUGAUCCAAUCCUCUCCACUCGAGGAUACCCUAUCCACUAGGGCUAACAGUCACUCGGGAAUCCACCUAUCCCAGUGUCCAUAUGCAAGUGUUUAACUACACUAAGUUCUUGUUCAAUGACUCAUCGCUAGGGAAUCCGCCUAUCCCUAAGUUCAUAUGUCAAGUGUCACUUUACACUAAGUUGUAUGCCACUCAUUCUGUUGUCAUUGUUAUUUACAUGCCACUCAUUAUGUCUUUAUCAACCAUCGAGUCCAUCUCUUAUCUCAGCACUAUAGGAUUCAAUGCCUCAACCCAAUCCUUAUCUAUCCACUAUAUCAAGCAUUCCACUCAUACUACGAUAUCAUCUAGGAAAGCAUAAGGAAAUGGAAAUGCACAAUUAUCCUACAAUGCAUACAUGUGAGAGAUGCAAGAUUACAAUGCACUAAGACAUAAAGAGGAGCCCGGUUGCUUCGGGAUGACACCACCCACCUUCUGGCGUUGUCACGACUCUAGGAAUGCGAUUCGGCGAUUUUAUGACGUCGUCUCGGCCUUCCAGGCGGAAACGAAGCUCAGAAGGUCCUUUUCGCCAAUAACUUUGCACCCGCUCGAUGGAUUGCCGAAUCGUCUUCGCCAACGCAUCAGAAAGCCUAUCAAUUAGGAUAAUACAUGAUCAAUUUAGAUCAAACCCUACCACAAGGCAAAACCCCAUUUUGGAGCCCUAACUUGCAAUCAUGCAAGAAUCAAACUCUAAAUCACCAAACUCAAGUACUAAGCAUCUAUCUAGCAUGCUAGAGUUCCAACCAAACCAUUUCUAGAGUAUAAAAUGUAAACCAUAGAGAUCUACCAUGGUUGAGCUUCAAGCUUACCUCCAAAAGCUAGCUUCAAUAGUGAAGAGGAAGAAGAAGAUGAUGAAGAAUCUUCUCCUAGCUUGCUUCUCCUCCAACUCCUCCUCUUUUCCCACCUUCUAGAGAGAGAGAAAGGGCUUAGAGAGAGAGAGGGAGAGUUUUAGGUUUAGAGUUGAGGGAGAGUGAAAGAGAGAGUUCACAACACCCCUCACUCAAAUCCCCAAGGUCACAAUUGCGUAAAACCCCCUCAACUUUGUAACUCAUGCACAACCCAGCCUAGGCAACUUCGAGCUACGGGCACCGGUCUGUCCCUAGAGGGACCGGUCCCCGAGAGCAAUCUAUGCGCAAAAUGGCCUUUGCUCCAUUUCUGCGUGUACGGGUACCGGUCCCUCCCACCAGGGACCGGUCCCCGAGAGCACAAUUCCAUGCGCAGAGCUUUUCUACUAUUACCCACGCGUAUGGGUACCGGUUCCUCCCACCAGGGACCGGUCCCUGAGAGCAAAAUUUGCAAUUGUGCAGAUUUGCACAACUUGCUCUCUCAGGCUGUCUACAAUGCACCUUUUGCAUUUUCGACGCCUUCGGCCGUUCCGAAGCGUUCCCAACCGACAAUCAGUCGAUUCUAAACGAAGUUCAACUCUUAUAUUUCGAGAAUUCACUUCCUUACAUUAGUACCUUAGAUCUUCUCUUUAGAUCUUAUUAUGGUAAAGUUUUUUUAGAUGAAACCCUAGAAAUGAGAAUCUAGGAUUUUAUUUGGGUAUUUUUGAUUGGAAACUUUUGGAGCUCAAUUGAUUGGUUUAGAACCUUUGUUUAGGUUGGAUUUGAAGGGACCUAGCUCACAUUUGGGAUUUGUGAGGGUUUUUCUACACUAUAGGUGAGUUUUAACCCUUUUCUUGGGUUGGUAAAUGUUGAACACAUGGAGUGUUCAUUCGUCUUGUCUAACCCUCCUAGGAUUUUCUUUAGGGAGCUAGGAAACAUGUGGGCACCUUCGUCGGUGCAAACGACAGGAAUUUGAGGAGUCUUGGUGGGUUUGACCUCACCGAAAUGAGAAAAAUUUCACUUAUGUCAUUUUAAUAGUUGUAAAAUAGAAAAUCAUGCGUAUUCAUGCUAGAUAGAGCAUAUGUGAAUUUUAGAAUGUUUAAAAUAUAUGUGUUAUGUUUUAUAAAAAAUUACCUCUAUAUAGUAGAGAGAGUUAUGUGUGUUGUUAGCAUGCAUGAGAAUAGCAUCUAUUAUAUGGUUUGGAGUCAUAUUUCUUGCAAUGGAAAUGACUAGAAUGACAUGCUCUUCGAGAUAAAACUUAUGCUUGACAUAGUGGACUUUAAAUGUCAUGAAAUGGCAUUCAACUUAGCAAAUGAUUAAACUUGUAUUUAACGACAUAGUGAUAGGCCAUUGGGAUGUUAGCCUAUAUACCAUGUUUUAGACAUGAUGACAUUAGACUAGAGACGGAUGAUUACGCUUGCUUGCCAUUGUGCUCAUUCGCACAUGCUUGUGAGGGUCGCUCCCCACAAUGCUGCACUUCGGAGAUAGUCAUCGCGACAUAUGCUCGCCCGUGCGGGAUUUGACGCCGAAAUGGGAUGCUGUGGGGGAGGCUCAUUCCUAGAGUGGGAAUGUUGACUACCACGGGCCAUUAGGCAUGGCACAAGUCGGACUACCCACGGGUAGGUCCUAUAUGAACAGAACAUUAUGGAACUAAAAUGCAAAGUGGACAUUAGACAAAUUAAUAAAUAAUGACAUUUUACUAGUUGUACUUGUGGACAUCCUGUUGGUUAUACUUAUGCAUAUUCAUAUUAGAAUAGCAUUUAUAUUUGUGAAAAUUCAUGCUAAAGUAGAGGCAUAGUAGUUAAUGAGUUUAAUUCAUGUUUUAUAUACAUAUUGUUCUUUCCAUUUAAAAGUUGAACAUACUAUUUUUGACUUGUUAGCCUAGUGGUGCAUUUCACUGAGGUCAGUAAUUACCCACUGGGAACUAUUGAUUAAUAGUUUUCACGCCCCCUAUUUUGUUGUUUUCUUACAGAGCCUUCCACCCCGGGAGAGGCUCGAGAUCACGGUAAAAGGAUAGCUACUAGCUAGAUAGCAAUGAGUACUUGAUCUAGAUAGUUCAUCUCUCUAUUUUUGUAUCUAUGUAGAGAGCACGAGUUUUUGUAUCCAUGUAUAAAGACCACCAUUUUUGUACCUCUAGCACUUGUAUUUUGGAUUAUACGAUGUACUACUUCAUGGUUUUAUUAAUGGAUUAGUUCCUUUAUUUACCUCCUUAUUCUAUAAUCUAGUUGUUGUACGCUCUGAUACUCCUAAAUGCUCAUUUAUUAUUGCUUUAUUUAUCGCCUUGUGAAAGUUUUGGGGUGCCCAAGGAUCUAUCUAGAUUGUAUCUAACACCUAAAGGGGGGUGAAUAGGUGUAAUAGCCAAAAACCACAAAUCUCAAUGCGAUAAAAAUAAAUGCAGAAAAUAAAAAUCACAUCGAGAUUUACGUGGAAAAACUCCAACUUGGAGAAAAACCCACGGGACCAACACGCGAAAAAAUAAUUCACUAAGAGAAAAGAUUACAAGGUGAUUACCGACUCCACGGACUCGACCUCUCUUAACCUCGUACGAAUCUCGCGCAAUCCUCUGGGUUGUCCACGCCCUCACGUUCGAAUCCACGAACGCCUCGCACACGUCCGAAUCCACGAACGCCACUCGAAUCCACGAGCCCACGAUCCGAAUCCACGAACCACCUUCAAUCACGCCGAAUCCACGAUGCCAUCCAUGAAAAACAUCAUGCUAUGGUGAUCUUUCGCUUAGAAUGUUGAUGAAGAACCAGAGACCAAACUCUAAGCGAAGUCUUAGAUCCAUUCGACAUUAAGAUCUCGAAUUACGAUAUCUCAAAUUGACCUAAAAGAGGUUAUUUUGUAGAAAAUAGGUUUUGGACAAAAUCCUAGCCUCUAGGGUUUCUCAAACAUGUAUUCUCAUUAUGCUCAAGCUAUUAGAGAACCCCAAUAGUUUAUUUAUAGACUUUAGAAUCAAUUAGAGUCGGAUUUGAAAGCUUUAAACUGUUACCGGUUACACGAUGACAGAAGAGAAAAUCUGUGAAACGCUGUAACCGAUGACAAGUCGCUGGUUGUACCGGAACACAAUUUGUACCGGUAUACUUUCAAUGCUUUACCGGUACACUUUGCAUUUUCCAGCUUUUUGCACAGUUUCGGGUUUUGCAAAGUUUCGACGCACUUUCUAAUCCACUAAACUUUGAUUUUCUGAUUUUAAUGCCUAUAACUAAGUAUGAAUCACCAUAACAUGAAUUAAAAUCUUACCUGAGCAUCGUGAUUCACAUCAUGAGUUAUUUUUUGAUUUCUCCGAAGUUUUGGAUUCUUCAAUCUUCGACGAUACGCACCGAUCCUUCAAGACUCCGACUCAAUCCAUGAAACUUGCCAACACACAAGACUUAACAAUCUCCCCAUUUGGCAAUUUCGUGACAAAACUCACAAACUCAAAAAUUACAUCUUAAAGAAAAACGAAGUUCAAUGUCAUCACCAAAACAUCGAACCCUUCGCAUGUAGUCUAAAUACAAUUUGAAAUUCAUAAAUACAACAAAAACUCCUAAAACAGACUCUAUGACUUAGACGCAACUAGAAGUCUUGAAGUCUUGAUCUCCUGCAAAACAAAAUAUUCAAAAACAAUGUAGAGUUUAAUCAACAUUAAAUUCUUAUACCUUCUCCCCCUUUGUUCUCAAUCACUUCUCCCCCUUUGUUCAUGAAUCCAUCCUCUUCAUCCUCUGCUUUGAUCAAUACCUGUUCUUCUUAUGAUCUCCCCCUUUUUGUCAAAAAUUGCCAAAAGAAAGCAUAUAGAGAGAAAAUCACUAAAACCUGAGAAGCAGUCAUGUCAUAGUUACAGGCCUAAAACAAAUGCUAAAACAAGUAAACCAACCUAAACAUAGUCGUAGGAGAGAAAAUAAAAAACAUAAAUACUAAAACUCGAAAGAUAAAAUCACUCCGUGUCCUCCUCCUCAUCAUCAUCAUCAUCGUCUCCUGCUCCAGUUCCAGAUCCCCCAGCCUCAGGAGCACCACUGGAUGGUGGAAUGAGUGGAUGUCACGACGUAGAUCUUGUAUAGGUGGUGUAGGUAGGAUGGGUAGGAAAUAUAUCGUCAUGCCUACAUCCUAGCUUCUCCAAUAUCCUUUUCAUCCCUACCUCCAACUUUUUGCCAAGUUGCACUACUAUCUUCUUUAAGGAGUACAUCUCAUGGUGAAGUGAUUCUACAGUAAUCACUCCCCCUGAACUAGAAGAUCCCUCGUGCUCUGCACGACGUGGAGGUGCGGAACUAGAAGCUCCUCUUGAAGAUCCCUUAGUCUGCUGAUAGGUCUUCAAAGUACUCACAGACUUGGCCCAUGUCACUGCAUCAAUUGGUCCAAGGCCCACGUCGUAUUUCUCACACGACACGUCUACUCCAUUCUCCUACAAAAUCCUCGUGAUCAAUAGAGAAAAUGGAAGUAGAUCACGUCGCACCGACGACUGUAUAACAUGCACCAUCCGUUGCCACAUAAGGAAGGGAAUGUUGAUAUUCAGCCCAUCUGCCUGCUCCGGGUGACCAAGGAGAUACAAAAGCACCAGUCGAUCCCAUCGAAUCCUCUUGGUUCCAAUAGUUGGUUGCACGUUGUAGCACAUCACCAAGGACAGAAGAUGAUACUCUCGUCGCAAGUCCUUGGACUCCACAUAAGCAUGAUUCGUCCUCACUCCAUCCUUGCAGAUUGCUUGAACAAUAGUCUCCUAGUGGGACGAAGACUGAUACAACCUUGUAGUAUGGUGGAGGCCAGCAGUAUCAACGUGCAUCCUCAAGAGCUCACCAAUCGUGUGAGGAGUGACUACAACCUUCUGCUGCCGCACAUAGGUCUCAAAUAAAUAAGUCCUUGUCUCCUCAUCCUCAGCAAGCACCCUCCCGUUCAUGUAGAACUCCCGAAUGAGUUCCACACAAAAAGGAGCACGAGCAGGAAACCGUCCAACGGGCUCUAUCGGUACCCUCUGAAGCAAGCGUCCAAAUUUCGGAACCUCCUGGAUGAGUUCAUUGAAGUUAACAUAUCGCUCCGCUAUGCAUGAUCUACUCGAAAACGUCCUCUGCCGCUCCGGUAGAACAUCCGCGGCUUGCUUUGAGCGAGUCUCUCGUGCACGAGAGCCACCUCCACGUGAGGAUUCUCCAGCUAUUCCCUUUCCUUUAUCAAUUCGAGCAGUUGGCUCUUCAGCUACCUCCGGGGAGUUCGCCUGAUAAUUCGGAUCAGAACCCGGUGACUCGCCUGCAGUACGAGUCCUCUUGGAAGCCCCUCGACUGUCACUCCCCGCCCCGAAACCACUACCAAUUUGGCACGAUUCGGGCGCGCCAGGCAGACGGCCGAACGGACAGCACCUCCCCUGUCCGCCCAAGGCUCAACAACAAGAAUGUGUAUAAGAAUUUACCCAGGAAUUUUAAAUUCUAAACAUACACAUUCAACGGGGCACAAACAGUGCCAACAACAACAAGAGCAAGUGAUCCACAAGUAAAAACGAGUGAAAUAAAGAGAGUAUUUUUCUAACUAUUACAAUAGUUUUGCAUCUUUUUACAUGUAUACCCUUUUCUCAAGAUGAAUACAUUUGAUCAUCCAAAAUACAUAGCUCUCCAACCUCACCUACAUAAAACUCUCAAAUACAUAGGUGUGCUAAUACAAAAAGGAAAGCUACUAUACUACCACGAUCUCACUGCUCGGGCGCGAUGCCCUUGCCGCGGUCCUCGCUCGGUAAACCUGUACCUACCACUGGAAAUAGAGUGGGGUGAGAACUAUCUUCAAUAGUUUCCAGUGGGCUCGGCCGCCGACUCCGCCGAUCUCCCUACCAGGUCCAAGUGGGCACAAGUAACAACAAGUAGAUAAAUAGAUAAAUAUCUCAAAACAGUAAAGUCAUAAAGAAAAUCUAUGCUACUAUACCCAUAAUCAUGUAUAAUGAAUGCAUGAAUCAUAUAGUAAAGGUUUACUAUCAUGCUAACGAAUUCGAUCCAUAUUCGAAUAAUAAUGUUCAAUGACAUUGUUCACUGUUCUUUUACCCAAUCUGUAGCGAAGCCCUUGGGUUCGCCAAUAACUCACCUUUCAAUCCCAAAGUGGGGAGGGAGCUCCAAGUGCUCCCAAGACCGGGACUGUCUGCGGACCUCCAUGUGGUCCGGACCUCCAAGUAGUCCUAAUCGCCCGACACUCCGAAGUACUCGACGACAAUCCCCUCUAUGUGGGGAUAUGGAUGGCUAUACCACCCCAAAAGCAAACUGUGAGCUAGAUCUAUCCUCUCCGAGUGAGGAUGCCCUACGACUAGGGUCAACAACCCAAUCAAAUCCUCUCCAAGUGAGGAUGCUCUACAACUAGGGUCAACAACCCAAUCAAAUCCUCUCCAAGUGAGGAUGCCCUACAACUAGGGUCAAUAUCUCAAUCAAAUCAUCGACAACCUCUCCAUGUGAUGGUACUUAGGUUUACUAUGUUCUUUGUCAACAAGGCAUUUUCUAAGGGAUCCACCUAUCCCUAAGUUCUCAAACCUCUACUGUCGUUUACACUAUAUUAAUGCCACUCGUUAUUCUUUAACAUUUGGAUGCCACUCGUUUGUUCUUUAACAUUUAGACACCACUUUCUAUGUCAUCAACACCCAUUGUGUUCAUCUCAUUUCUUUAGCACUAUAGGAUCCAUGUUUCGACCCAAUCCUCACCUACCUAAAUCACCAAGCGUUCCAAGUACACUAGGUUAUCAAUUAGAAAGCAUAAGGAAUGGUACUACUAUACAAUCCUACAAUGCAAUAUGUAAGAGAUGAGAUUAAAUGAAAUCUAAGAUAUAGAAAGGAGUUCGAAAGCUUCGGGAUGGCACCCCCCCCAUCUUUUGUAGUCGAUAAUCGUUGUGGAGGUCCUAGAAGUGUUCCUCGGCACUUCAAACCACGUGUUCCCCGCCUCUUUGGGAGAAACGAAGCUAGGUCGGCCCUACUUUGCCGAUAGCUCUAAAUUCACUCGACGAAUCGCGAAAUCGACUUCGCCCCCGCUUUUUGUGACCUAAAAAUUAGGUUUACAAGGCCUCAAAUGAGAUCAAUCUCAUACUUUACUAAAAACCCCAUUUUGGAGCUUUAGGUUUGCACUUAUAGCCAACCACUCAAUCAAAACCCUAGAUUCUAGCAUUGAUCUAUUUAGAAGUAUGCUAGAGGUCCAUUUGACCUAUUUCUAAAGUCAAAAAUCCAAAACCCUAAGUUCACAAAGCUAGGGUUUGGUAGCUUACGUCUUGAACUACACCAAAGAGAAGAGGAGAGGGAGAUGAAGGUGUCCAAGGCCUUCUUCUUGAUCUCCUUCGUCUUCUCCUCCCUUUUUCUUCUUCUCCUUUUCCUUCCUCUCCUCCUUGUUCUUCUUGUUCUUCUUCUCUUUCUAGAGAGAGAGAGGGAGAGUGUAAGGUACUAGACUUCUAAAAUCAUGAAUUUAUGGUGUACAUUUGGUUGGAGAGCUAUUUGAAUGGUUCCGGUGAAGUUCGGUGAAGUUCAGGAGCAAUCGGGCGUUUCGGUGCGCGUAGGCGCGAAAACGGAACCCGAAACGCUAUGUUGGGCCAUGGGCUAAAUCCGGCAUUAGCGCAGAUGAAAAGAUGAUGAAAACAUGUUUGAAAAUAUGUUCGGAGAGUCUCGGUUUGAUUUGAAAUGAAUCGGAGGUCAAACGAACGAAAACGGGCGAAAACGGAGUGAAAACGGACGAAGCUGAAAAUUGGCUAAGUCUGGGCUGGAGGUCUCUCUGGGACCGGUCCCAGGCAGAGAGACCGGUCUCUCAGGGACCUGUCCCUCAUGCAGAGACCGGUCCUCGAACCCCGAAAAUGCCCAGUUCGGGCUGUUGCAAGAAGAGACUUGUUGAGGGGUUUUUAUGCAAUUGUUGCAUGGGUUAAGUGUAUAGAGAGAGUUAGAACCUCUCUCUCUCUCUCCUUCCCCCACCAUUUCAACCCCAACACCAUCCCUCUCUCUCUCUAAACGAAAUAAAAGAAAGGGUAGAAGAGGAAGAAAAGAAAGAAGAGAAGGAGAAGAAGAUCAAGAAGGAGAUCUUCAUCCUCUCCUUCGUCUUCGUCGUGCUUGGAGCAAACCUAGAUAGGUAAGCUUCUUAGCCUCUCAUAGUAGAUCCCUAGAUGUGUGGUUUUGAUCUCUUAAAAUAAUUUAAUUGGAAUCCCGGCAUGCUAUCUAGAUGAGUGAUACCUAAUUCAUGAAGGUAUUUGGUGGUUUUUACCGAAGUCCCAAACUAGGGCUCAAAAAUAGGGUUUUAAGAAAUAGUUGGGUUUGAUCUCAAAUAACCCUCUGUAAACCUAAUUGCUAGGUAAACAAACACGCUGGCGAAGUUGGUUCGGCAAUCCGUCGAGCCGUUACAAAGAUAUUGAAGAAACUGACGAUUUAGCUUCGUUUCCGCUUGGAGGGUCGAGGCGACGUCGUAAAAUCGUGGAAAUGGAUUUAGAGCACCGUGGCACAUAACCGAAGACCUAUAAUUUUCGGGGCUGCAAAGUGGAGCACUGUUGAAGCGCAGUUGCAAUAUCGGACCGUGCCGGAUACGAGUGCCGGGGUGGCCGAUUGCGAGUGUCGACAAGCAAUCGGAACGCGAGUUCAGGUGGGUUGUAUUUACAGAAACGACUAGGUCGCCCUUUAUGUCUAAGAAACAUACGAAUUCAUAUUGAUGCAUGUUAAUAAAAUGACAUAGCUAAUGCAUGUGGACAAUGUGAUGCAAAAUGCUAAGUAGAUGCAUGUAAGAUGAUGUAAUAUAGAAAUGCUAGAAUACAUGAUGGCAUUUCAUUAGCCCGGCUUACCCGAGCCAACCUACCCAACUCAUCUCAUUAGAAAAUAAAAAACAACCUAACCUGAAAUAUAAAUCCGUAAUCAUUUAAAAAAAAUUUCAAAACCGUAUUUAUCCUGUGAAUGUGUUUUCACAGGGUUUGAACACAGGGAUAUUGAAUUAAGAUAACAUCACAUACAAAUUCUACAUUAGAAUAUAAUUUAUCAUUCUUUUAUUUAUCUUCACGGUCGGAUAACCCUAAUUUAACUCUUCCAGGAUGUAACUAUGAUGGGUUUACCGAAUGUGUAUAUCUUUACACAAUAAUUAUAAAUAUAAGUACAUCACAGAGACCCCAAAUCACCAGCCUGAUUGCCGUCGUAGUCACCGAACAGCUGUGAAAACAUCUCACAGCCCUGCUCGGUCUCAGUAAAACCGCACUUUAUCUGCACUUUUGCCUGAGCCUCGACACUCCCAACCUCAAGCCUGUGAUUUUAUACGUUUUUAUCUUAAAACUCACAACACAUAGCUAGUACACUCCUCAUGGCCAUGGGGUCUUCCUAAUGUACUUAUCCACGAGAGCCCAAACACGUCGAACCACAAAACAUGGCCAUGGACAACCACUCAUGGCCAUGACCCUGACCCAUAGCUAUGAUGUAGCCCGGUCAUGACCAUGUGGCGUGAGCCCAAACGAGCUCCUCACAGCCCAUGGCCAUGGAUUCAACUCAUGACCAUGAGGUCCGCCGUUUCACUCAACCAUUCCCCAGAAAACCAAUAAAACGACAGCUAUUUAGGAUUGGAUAGGGGUCAGUUAGAGAAACACAAUCUUCGAACCUCUUUUGUCCAUCGAAGAUGAGAAAAGAGAGAGAUCGAAGAGAAGAGUGAAAGAAACACUUAAACCCUUAGCUAGACUAAAAGCAAAAGGGAGAUCCAAUUACAAACUAUCACAUUCCACCAGCAUUACGGGAGCAUGGAGAAGCGACUAGUGAAGAUCCCGUAAAGCUCUGAGCCCCUGUUGAAACAAACCGCUCUGCUCCGAGAUGCGCUGCCAAGCCACCCAAACUGGAUCGGUGUGUUACUAUUUAAGAGUAAACACGAAUUAAUUCAUAACAAUUUACCUUUUCGUACGUAUAAGAAUAACAUAUAUAAAUAACACUUAAAAUCUUACGAAUUUUCCAGAUACAACAUAUACUACUUUAAAACCUGGAGAUACCUCAUCUCUCAUUGAACCAUCCGGAUACCAACGUAAAUCGCAAGUUAAACUCUGAACCAAAGUACGAAGAUAUCACAUUUACUCGAAACUAGGUACGUAAAUUUGAAUUCAAAUAAACUUUGUACUUUCUACUGUUUAACGGUAUAUCUCCAUAACUUGAUCUUACAUACACUUGAUCUCUCGAUUACAGUAGUUCGCCAUAACUCGAGCCCUGUACACACUUGGAUCACCUAUCCCGGUAACUCCUUACACUUUGUACGAAUUAAUAAUUACAGAUUCACAGUAUUUCCCCGUGAUCUGGAUCUCUUCCAACCCUGAAGUGAACACUGAAUCUUGAUCUAGAAGCUCUACGAUCACCUAUAUGGUACAAUCUCUGUACUCCCAACCUAUGAACUCGGUAGCUGUUGCGAACAAACGGUAAACACGAGUAAGCGUGUACGAACACUCCCAGCGAGGGAUGUUCGGCCGUGAGGCCUCAAUCGGAUGCACUGGAUACAAGCGAGCACGCCAUAACUCUUCGGAUGCCCCAGCUCACCCUGUCUGUGUAAGGUUCUCAUCCCUACAACCCGAUGGUGUCCGUGAAUCCGCCGUGUUCGACCUGAUGGAACCCUCCAGGAAUUUAACCUUUACCUUUAGCUGUGCCACAACUUAUACUUGUUAGUGAUGAUCUAUCCUAAUCAUCAACCUAAUGAACCUGUGCGAAUACUAUAUCGUAACCAUGUAAAUCAUAUGAACGGCCAAAGUAAUAACGUAGCAUCAUAUGAGCCAACAAACCUAUCUCAAAUGGGAAUACGUAACUGUAUAACGUAGCACGCCAAAUGAACAAAUAAUACAACUCUGUAUAAUCAUACGUAGCCUAUAUAAUGGAAUACUAUCGCAUCUACAUGUAGUGGUACUGUAGUACGAAUAACCUCUGUAUCAUCAUAUCGUAAAGUAAGUACGAAAGAAAGUCGUCAAAAGUACAAGCGAUAAAUAACGUAUAAUGAUAUACAGCAAUAAAUGGGAAAAGAAAACCCCGGAUCACCACGUAACUCGACUCCAGUCAUUAACGGGUGACCCUUGAUAUUUAAUAUCAAGAGUGCGGGAGAAGAAGAGCUACAAAAAGUCUCGGAAGGUGCGUCCCACUCCGGUCCCUGGCGCCCUUCCCUCAACGAAGCUCGAUCGAAGGAAGCUCCUGCUGAACGAUCCACCAGGUGGAGAGCUACAUAUAAAGAAAACGCUCUCCAACUCCUCAAAUGGUUACAUGAUCUCUGGUGGUAAAAACAUAAUCUCUGUCUAUAACAUGAUGAAUACUGAGGAAAAUAACAAAUCGAAAUGAAGACAUGAAACCACAUCUACAAUCUAGAUAUGAGCGAGACUAUAGUAAUCAACGAUCAAUAAAGUGGAGAAGAUAAACAGGAUGAUAAACGAAAAUGAAGGCGAAAAAAAGAUCUGCGGAAUAUACACAUCUGUAUACCGCCCAGACCCGUGCGAUGGCCCUCCCGGAGGCGACCAGGGCCCCGCACUGUUGCAAUUAUACGNNNNNNNNNNNNNNNNNNNNNNNNNUGGAUUCCGGAAUCCCGAGACUUGUGAACUCAAUAGUUCUUGGACCGCGGGUGUAUGUGGCAUGUUCCUCUCCCACCGGAAGAACUUUGAGGAUUGUGACUGAGCAAGAACAAAAAGCGCUAGGGUGUAUGCGGUAUGUUCCUCUCCCUAUCGGGGAUCUUGGCUAUUGGUGUAUACGGCAUGUUCCUCUCCCACUGGCGGAUCCCUGACCACGGUGCACGGACCUUCGGGCGGACCGUUGGGCGAUUUAGUUCUUGGCUUGCAGGCUGAGGUGCAUGUGACAGGGUCCUUCACCUCGAGCCGGGCAGAGCACGGAUUAUCCGCAGUUGAUUGACUCGAGACCGAGUCGGGUGGCUAGCUGGAAUAAGGUAGAUAGAACCUUGAGGGCUAGUGGUAAAUGUGUUUAACCUAAGGUGAUAGAGACCUUAGAGUUGGAUGAUAUGAACUAGAGUUAGCGAGAGUGAAUGUAGAACCAAUAAUUCUACUAGUGGUUGCAUAUAUUCAUGUUGCAUAUAGCAUGGCAUCAUUGCAGUUGUGAGGCAAAGCAAGGUAAAGUUAGUUGCAUGUUUAUGAUAUACAUAUCUAUCUGUUUAUUGGACUAACUUGUAUUUGCCUCCCUUGGACCUGUUGGUCGAGCUCCUCCCCUGGGAACCAUGGAGUUGGUUCUCACCCCACAUUGUUUUGGGGUGUUGCAGGUCCGUACGUGAGCGGUGCGGCGGUGCGAGGCAAGGGCGUAGCUCCAUAGAUAGCGCCCUACCCCAGAGACUAGAGAUAGAGACCAGAGAUAGCGGUACCCCAAGUCGGCAUUGCUUAGGGGUAUAGGAAAGGGAAAGGAACACAAUGUAUCAAAUUUGUAAUAUUAAUUGUAAUAACUUAAUUGCAUUUGGAAGUUGAAUGUGAUGUAAAAAUGAAUCUAAUGUGAAUGUAUGUAAUAACAUAGGAUGUGUUAUAUUGUUGAUACCUUUUCAUUUGCAAUCUAUGAUUGAAUACUGUUCCUGGUUGGAACCACUUAUAUUGUUUUGAUUGCGACGCCUAGGACGUAUAGGGGAAACUCUGUCCGUUCGGCGGUCUGUCGGCGUGCCCGAACCCGACCAAAUAGGCGGGGCGCGGGGCGUGACAGAGAGAAUAUGAGAGGGAGUGAGAGAGUGAGGGAAUGAGAAUGAGAGAGAGGAGAGAGCUCAUCCUCUCUAUAGCCCUCUCUAAUGUAACAAAAUCCACUUUAGCCCCUUAACUUCCACCUCUAUACACUGCCUUUACUGGGCAGAAUUCGUGCGGAGGGACAGGUCUCCGCGACUUGGGACCGGUCCCCGAGAGCAGCCCAUGCUGCUGGGGCCCUUCUCGCAUUCGGGAACCGGUCUCUCCCCGGGAGACCAGUCCUCGGGAGACCGGUCCUCGCCUGAGAGACCGGUCCCCGAGAGCUCGAUUUUCAGGACUUAGCCGAUUUUGGCCUUCUCUCGCUGGCGUCGCACAUGGGGACCGGUCCCCUCAGCCAGGGACCGGUUGCAUCAAAGAUCCCCAGCAACCACCAGCCUCGGGGACCAGUCUCUCCCUACCAGGGACCGGUCCCCGAGAGCAACUUCAGCCCAGUGCAGGUUUUGCACUAUAUGCUCUCGCGGACUCAACUCCAAUACACUUUUUGUGUUUUGGAUAACUUUAGCUUUCCCGAAGGAUACUCACUCGACAAUUAGUCGAUCCGGGAUGAAGUACAACUCUCGGAUUUCGAGAAUUCACUUCCUUACAUCGACGACCUCUACCGCCACCACGACCACGUCCAGUGACCAUCAGCACCAAAAGUAUCAAUACGAGCGAGAACGCCAUUUUUCCUACAAAAAAAUGAGCCUUGCAUGAACAAAUUUUCAAUAAAAAUCUGUAAAAAUAGUGAAAAUUUUUCUAAUAAUAUUAGAAUGCAUAACACCACUAUUUCUAACUAAAUCAUACAAAAUUUUCAUCAAAAAUUGAUUUUCAUCAAAAAUUUUUAAAUUCCACAUACAUGGAGGUACAGAUCACAGAUCAACAAAAAAUAUAGCAUUAUACCCUGAUCUAAGUGUUCUAGAAGCAAGAAUAUAUGUCUAAACACUGAUUCACAGCAAAAAAAUGGCAUAAAAAAUUAUCAAAAACAGAAAUCAUGCUUCAACUCGGAAUUUUUCCGAAAAAUUACAAGAACGCAAGCAAAUGAUUAAAUCUGAGGAAGAUACUCACAAAUCUUUGGAGAAAACGAGUGGAUCUGGAGGAGAAGGUCACCUGGGAUUUUUUGAGAGAGAAAAAGAGAAUUUUGGUUUUGAUUUGGGUGAGAAACGAAAUCCCGUAACCGGUUAUAAAACACGGUCUAUAGUUAUUUUGUACCGGUACACGGUAUUUUGUACCGGUACACUUUCCCAGAUUUCGAAAAUUGUGAAUUUUUUCCUCAAAACUCAUUCAAAAUCAAAUUAAUUUCAUAAGAAUUUAAAAGUUGUACUCCAAAAAUCAUUAUGAUGAAAAUAAAUUAUUAUAAGAUUUCAAAUUACACCGAAUCAUCAAAAUUUGUUAUCGAAAAUAAUCUAAUGAUUAAUCCUAUAAAGAUAAAGUUGGAUUUUUGGAGCAUCAAUUUGAGGAAUCGCACAACUCCAAUCAAUCCUUGACCGAUCAAGUUCGUCAACUCCAAUCCGAUAUUCAAAAGUUUUCUUCGGGAUCAAAAAAAUUGGAUCAUAUGCUUGGAUUGGGUCAAACGAACAAACUUGGCCUCGGAUAUGAAAGAACGUAUGUUGAGAAGGAUCAAAAGUCAACAUCUAAAGUCUCAACAACUUUAACCGAAAAGGUGUGUCAUAGAUGUGGCAUCAAAGGACACAUCAAAAAGGGUUGCUCGAACAAGACUAAGAAGAAUCAAUCGGCAACUUCAAAACAUCAAGUGGCACCCUCUACUACUCGACUUCCCCUACGGAAUUCAAAGAAAAAUCAAUUGAGUCGAGCACCUCGAGGGAAUCGGUUUUCCAAUGCUCAACAUCAAGUCCAACCGAACCAACAAGCAAGCCGAAAUUAUAAGCCGCAACGUCAAUUCCAAUCGAAACCUCAAGCGAAUCGGGCUUCUAAAUCACAACGGCAAUUCCAAUCGGAGCUUCAAGCAAUGAAACGAUCAAUGGUUGAUCCAAAAUCAAAACAAGGUGUACCUAACGUCGACAAGCCAAGACAACCAACAAUCCGACAAGUGUGGAUCUGGAAAGGUGAUAUCUUACCUUGCUCCUUGUCUUAGUUUGUUUUAUUGAUAAUGUAAUGCUUUGUUUGGUGCUUAUUGCAUAUUUGUAUUCAUUGCAUUACAUGUUUGGACGAUUUUUUGUACUUGAAUUUUAUGUGUCUUUAAAAUCUUUUGAGGAAAGGUGAUAGGGAAUUAAAAAUUUCUUUGAGAAAAGAGAUGAUUGAAAAUCAUUAUUUUGGGGGAGAUUAAAUUCUUUUCAAAGUGUUUUAAACGGUAUUUUCAUAUUUAUAUUAAAUUAAAUUCAUAUUAAUUAUCGGUUUUACUCCACUUUUUAUUAUUUUGACGAUAAUUGAUUAUAUGAAUUCUUAAUACAUAUAUUCAUCAAAAUUUUGAAAUCAAUUUUGAUCUCUUGGUGAUUAAUUCAUCUUGGUUGUGAGUGUUGAAUAUGAUAGAUGGGUAUUCGCUAAUAGACCAAAAUUUGUCAAAAUUAUUUUCAAUUGUGAGAUUGUCUAAUUUAGGAGGAGUUUGGAUAUUUAAAAAAAAAAAGAAAAAAUAAACUCCUAUGUUUAAAAGAUGUGGAAAGAGUUACAUCCAAAAAGAGUGUGAAAACUACGUACCACCACAUGUAGGAAAGAGCUACUACCCCGGUCGUCCGACAAGUGUGUGAAGCUACCACAUGGAAAUUAAUUGAAUAAGCGAAAAGGUUGAAUAAAAUAAAUAUAUUAGAAUUUUCGGAGGUAUAAGGUGGUAGGAUGAAAAGAUGCUCAAAGAGUCACCCCCGGUGCCAUAUUAGUUAAAUCUCUAUUUUGAACGAGCCGCUUCAUCAAGCUGCUCUUGGAGGACCGAAUUAUUCUUCAAAAUUGAUUCCCUUUCCUCCUCAAGGCUUUAUUCAUUGUCUUCAAGUUGUUGUUUUCCUCUUCGAGAUCCAACAAAUGACGCCUCAACUUCUUAUUAAGUUUUGCCAUCUUCUUUGAUUCAAUAAGGAGUUAAUUAUACGCUUCCGCUAUAUCCUCGUCGUUUGAUUUCUCCUCAUUUUCGCCGUUGUCGCUCGAAGACCCAUGCAAGGAAGAAACAUUGGAAUUAGAAAUAAUAGAAGAUAAGCAAACAACAUUAGACGAAGGCAAAGAACUGUUAGUAAACAAAGCAAGUUCAUUCUUUCCUUCGUCACUUGAACUUCAUUCACUAGAAGUUGAAUGAUCCCAAGUCUUUGCUUGCAAAGCCUUUUGUCUAUAUAUUGUUUUUAAAGGACAAUCUGUUGCUGUCACGCCUCGCCCCGAAACCACUACCAAUUUGGCACUAUUCGGGCGUGCCGGGCGGACCGCUGAACGGACAGCACCUCCCCUGUCCGCCCAAGGCUCAACAAUAGGAAUGUGCACAAGAAUUUACCCAGGAGGCCAGGAAUUUCAAAUUCUAAACAUACAUAUUCAACGGGGCACAAACAGUGCCAACAACAACAAGAGCAAGUGAUCCACAAAUAACAACGAGUAAAAUAAAGAGAGUACUUUACUAACUAUUACAAUAGUUUUGCAUUUUUUAUAUAUACAUCCUUUCCUCAAAAUGAAUACAUAUGUUCAUUCAAAAUACAUAGCUUUCCAAAUCCUCACCUACAUGAAUCUCUCUCAAUACAUAGGUGUGCUAAUGCAAAAAGGAAAGCUACUAUACUACCACGGUCUCACUGAUAGGGCGCGAUGCCCUUGCCGCGGUCCUCGCUCGGUAAACCUGUACCUACCACUGGAAAUAGAGUGGGGUGAGAACUAUCUUCCAUAGUUCCUAGUGGGCUCGGCCGCCGACUCCGCCGAUCUCCCCACUAGGUCCAAGUGGGCACAAGUAAUAACAAGUAGAUAGAUAGAUAGAUAUCUCAAAGCAAUAAAGGCAUAAAGGAAAUCUAUGCUACUGUGCCCAUAAUCAUGUAUAAUGAAUGCAUGCAUCAUAUAGUAAAGGAUUACUAUCAUGCUAACGAAUUCUAUCCGUGUUCGAAUAAUAAUGUUCAAUGACAUUGUUCACUGUUCUUUUACCCAAUCUAUAGCGAAGCCCUAGGGUUCGCCAAUAACUUACCUUUCAAUCCCAAAGUGGGGAAUGAGCUCCAAGUGCUCCCAAGCCCGGGACCAUCUGCGGACCUCCAUGUGGUCCGGACCUCCAAGUGGUCCUAAUCGCCGACACUCCGGAGUACUCGACGACAAUCCCCUCCAUGUGGGGAUACGGAUGGCUAUACCACCCCAAAAGCAGACUGUGAGCUAGAUCUAUCCUCUCCGAGUGAGGAUGCCCUACAACUAAGGUCAACAACCCAAUCAAAUCAUCGACAACCUCUCCAUGUAAGGGUACUUAGGUUUACUAAGUUCUUUGCCCACAAGGCAUUUUCUAAGGGAUCCACCUAUCCCUAGGUUCUCAAACCUCUAGUGUCAUUUACACUACAUUAAUGCCACUCGUUAUUCUUUAACAUUUGGAUGCCACUCAUUUGUUCUUUAAUAUUUAGAUACCACUUUCUAUGUCAUCAACACCCAUCGUGUUCAUCUCAUUUCUUUAGCACUAUAGAAUCCAUUUUCCGACCCAAUCCUCACCUAUCUAAAUCACCGAGCAUUCCAAGUACACUAGAUUAUCAAUUAGAAAGCAUAAGGAAUGGUACUACUAUGCAAUCCUAUAAUGCAAUAUGUAAGAGAUGAGAUUAAAUGCAAUCUAAGACAUAGAAAGGAGUUUGAAAGCUUCGGGAUGGCACCCCCCACCUUUUACCGAUGUAGAGGCUUUAGAAAUGUUCCUCGGCGAACUUUACGAAAAGGCUUUAGCCUUCCUUGGUCCAAGAUAAAGCUAAAUCGGUCGUAUUUUGCCGAUAGCUCCAAAUUCACUCGACGAAUCGCGAAAUCGACUUCGCCCCCGCGUUUUGUGACCUAAAAAUUAGGUUUACAAGGCGUCAAAUGAGAUCAAUCUCAUACUUUACUAAAAACCCUAUUUUGGAGCUUUAGGUUUGCACCUAUAGCCAACCACUCAAUUAAAACCCUAUAUUCUAGCACUGAUCUAUUUAGAAGCAUGCUAGAAGUCCAUUUGACCCAUUUCCAAAGUCAAAAACCCAAAAACCCAAAGUUCACAAAGCUAGGGUUUGGUAGCUUACCUCUUGAGCUACACCAAAAGAAGAUGAGAGGGAGAUGAAGGUGUCCAAGGCCUUCCUCUUGAUCUCCUCCUUCUUCUCCUCCCUUUUUCUUCUUCUCCUUUUCCUUCCUCUCUUCCUUGUUCUUCUUGUUCUUCUUCUCUUUCUAGAGAGAGAGAGGGAGAGAAUAUGAGAGGGAGUGAGAGAGUGAGGGAAUGAGAGAGGGAGAGAGAAAUUUCCCAUGUAUACCCCUCAUCUAAUGGCCAUUUUGCACUUAAACCCCUCCACUUUUCCAUCCUUGCACAGCCCUCACUGGGCUGUUUUCGCGCGGAGGGACCGGUCUCCCCGACUUGGGACCGGUCCCCGAGAGCAGCCCAUGCUGCCAGGGGCCCUUCUCACGUUCGGGAACCGGUCUCUCCCCGGGAGACCGGUUCCUCUCGAAGAGACCGAUUCCCAAGAGCCCGAUUUUCAGGACUUAGCCAAUUUUUGGCGUUUCUCGCUGGUGGCGCGCCGGGGGACCGGUUUCAUCAAUCCAGGGACCGGUUGCAUCAAGAUCCCCCGCAGCCACUAGUCUCGGGGACCGGUCUCUCCCUGCCAGGGACCGGUCCCCGAGAGCAAAAAUCUGCUCAGUGUAGAUUUUCAUUCCUUAGCUCUCGUGGACUCUCUUUCAAGGCACUUUUUGUGUUUUGGACAUCUUUAACUUCCCCAAAGGGUAUUCUCUCGACAAAUAGUCAAUCCUGGACGAAGUACAACUCUCGAAUUUCGAGAAUUCACUUCCUUACAGUUGCAAUAUGGCCGUUCCCUUUACAUUUGUAGCAUUGGAUUUCCCCUUCAAAUUCAUCUUUUUCUUUUGAAGACUUUGCAAGUUUCUUAUCUUUAGAUUUAGAAGAUAAAGAUGAUUUAGAAAAGGAUUGUUUCUUAGACGAUGAAGCCUUGUCCAAUUUAUUCUUCCGAAAAUUCCGACGAAACUUCUUCGUGAGGAAGGCUAAUUGAUGUUCGAAAUCAGCAAGCGAAACAUCUCCGUCGGAAUCUGAAUCUUCGUCUUUUUUCUUUGUCGAUUUGAGUGCAACCCAUGUACUUUUAGAAGAAGACUUGGCAAAAGAUUAAUUAGUAGGAAAAGUCAUUUCAUAAGUUUGCAAAGCGCGCACCUACUAAUUUUUCGAUUUGAGUGCAACCCCUGUACUUUUAGAAGAAGACUUGGCAAAAGAUUGAUUAGUAGGAAAAGUCAUUUCAUAAGUUUGCAAAGCACCUACUAAUUUUUCGACUUUCAUCUCGUCCGGAUGCUUAACGGUUUCGAUCGCGGCAACCUUUGCCCGAAAGCGUUCCGGAAGAGUCCGAAGUAUUUUUCUUACAACCUUUGAAUCCAGGAUUUUUGCUCCCAAGUUCGCGCAUGUAUUAACAACAUCUUGAAGUCGCGUAUAGUACUCGGUAAAGGUCUCAUUUUCUUUCAUAAAAAUUGAGUCAAAUUUGCUCGUUAACAUUUGUAAUUUUUGGACCUUUACUAAGCUAGUUCCUUCAUGCGUAACUUGUAGAGUAUCUCAAAUCUCUUUGGCGGUAUUACACGCCAAAACGAGAGUGAACUCCGUUUGAGACAAUGCAUUAAAUAAAGCGUUUAUGCCCUUGCCGUUAAACGAAGAUGACUCGUUCUCUCAUCUUUUGUCCACUUGUUCCGCAGUUUAGGAACGGUAGCAUUAUCGACAACUUCGGUAGGAUGUUUUCAUCCGAAUUCGAUAGCUUUCUACACCCGCUCAUCGAUUGCGAUUAGAAAAGCUCUCAUGCGAACCUUCCAAUAGGCAUAAUUUGUGCCAUCGAAGAGUGGUGGUCGAUUAAUGUUACCGCCUUCGGCCAUUAGAUAGCAAUAUAUCUAGAUCACGCUCUUAUACCAAUUGAAAGUUUUGGGGUACCCAAAGAUCUAUCUAGAUUGUAUCUAACACCUAGCGGGGGGUGAAUAGGUGUAAUAGCCAAAAACCAUAAAUCUCAAUGCGAUAAAAAUAAAUGCGAAAAAUAAAAAUCACAUCGAGAUUUACGUGGGAAAACUCCAACUUGGAGAAAAAAUCACGGGACCAACACGCGAAAAAAUAAUUCACUAAGAGAAAAGAUUAUAAGGUGAUUACCGACUCCACGGACUCGGCCUCCCUUAACCUCUUACGAAUCUCGCGCAAUCCUCCGGAUUGUCCACGCCCUCACGUUCGAAUCCACGAAUGCCUCGCACACGUCCGAAUCCACGAACGCCACUCGAAUCCACGAGCCCACGAUCCGAAUCCACGAACUGCCUUCAAUCACGCCGAAUCCACGACGCCAUCCAUGAAAAACAUCAUGCUAUGGUGAUCCUUCGCUUAGAAUGUUGAUGAAGAACCAGAGACCAAACUCUAAACGAAGUCUUAGAUCAAUUCGACAUUAAGAUCUCGAAUUACGAUAUCUCGAAUUGACCUAAAAGAGGUUAUUUUGUAUAAAAUAGAUUUUGGACGAAAUCCUAACCUCUAGGGUUUCUCAAACAUCUAUUCUCAUAAUGCUUAAUCUGUUAGAAAACCCCAAUAGCCUAUUUAUAUAGACUUUACAAUCAAUUAGAGUCGGAUUUGAAAGCUUUUCAGAUUUUUACAUUGUGUACCAGUACACUUUUAAGCUAUUACCGAUUACACGAUGACGGAAGAGAAAAUCUGUGAAACGCUGUAACCGGUGACAAGUCGCUGGUUGUACCGGAACAUAAUUUGUACCGGUACACUAUCAAUGCUGUACCGGUAUACUUUGCAUUUUCCAGCUUUUUGCACAGUUUCAGGUUUUGCAAAGUUCCGACGCACUUUCUAAUCCACUAAACUUUGAUUUUCUGAUUCUAAUGCCUAUAACUAAGUAUGAAUCACCAUAACAUGAAUUAAAACCUUACCUGAGCAUCGUGAUUCACAUCGUGAGUUAUUUUUCGAUUUCUCCGAAGUCUUGGAUUCUUCAAUCUUCGACGAUACACACCGAUCCUUCAAGACUCCGACUCAAUCCACGAAACUUGUGAACACACAAAACUUAACACCUUGUUGUAGAUGCCUUAUAUGUUGUAGGCAUAUGGCGGGUCUGGAUACGCACCGAGCAGGCUUCCGCUGGAUCCCGCGGCGUGACAAACCCGCCGAACACAUAGAAGCUUUCCGUGUAUACGAAGAGAUGGUUGACCUACAAACUAAUAAAUAUAAUUACAAAAAGUACAGAGCUGCUAAAACCAAAAUAUAUAUAAAAAAGGCCCACUGUACAUACAACUUUCCAAAAUGCAUCUCUGUCCAUCCAACAUACAAGUUAAAACCUUAUCACAAAAUGCGUAAAUAAAAUAACCGUAUGUAUAUGGCAACUCCCAAAAAGAAAUUGUCUCUAGUAAGGGUACUCCUCUAGUAUGAUGACCGAGGUAAACAAGGAUCUAGUGUUGGCGGCUUAAAUAGGCUAGUAUCCUGCCCUGUGGCGGGAGGCUAUGUCUGGACCGAGUCAUGUUCGAAAUGGCGUGAGAAUGGGUUGGGCCGAGUCAUGUUCGAAGUGGCGUGAGGUUGGUUGGGCCGAGUCACAAUCGAGACCCGUGGCCGUUGUAUCUGUAUAUUUUAAGUGAAUUAGUUACAUAUUUCUAACAGCUUGAACUUUUGGGAUUAAUGGUUAGCAUUAACGAUCCGACAAGUGGUAUCAGAGCCAAACGUCACGGGUUCGAUUCCCGUAUGCUGCAAAUGUGUGCAGGUGCUAGAGGGAGGAUUAUUGGCUUAAAUGAGCCAGCAUUCUGCCCUGUAGCGGGAGGCCAUGUGUGGGCCGAGUCAUGUUCGAAAUGGCAUGAUGCUCGGUUGGGCCGAGUCAUGUUCGAAGUGCCAUGAGGCUGGUUGGGCCGAGUCACAAUCGAGACUCGUGGGUGUUGUAUCUGUAUGCUUUAAGUGAAUUGGUUCCGUAUUUCUAAUAGCUCAAGCUUUUGGGAUUAAUGGUUAGCGCCAACGAUCCGACAUCUAGCUCGCGAUUCCCUUAUCUCAAUCAGAAGCAGCAGCAGCGGCAAUCGGCGGCUCUACAAGAAAAGUUGGCAACAACGGGUGUGAAAACUACUAUAAAAUAAAGUAGCCCUCAGUGGGCACCAUCACCAACCUCAACGGCCUACCCACUAAGUCUACGAGAUAAUAAUAUAGUUGAUAGGUAAAGAAACAGUAAGGUAAGCUUGAUUAAAACUCUAUAGUUACUAUUCCACUACCCUACCGCUAUGCACAUCAAGAUCUCUACAAACAUAUGCAUCACUAGCUAAUAAAACAAUCCUCACUGACCCAAUCCACAGGAACUGCGAUACUCCCGUCCCGCCUGUUUAUGCUACAUCAUACACCACCCUGAGGGCAACCGGUGGACAGCAAAAGUCAAACCUAGACUACUAAAACAUCAACGCAAGAUAGCCAGACUCCGGAGCGGCACUCGUGGGAGCAACCUAACCGAGUAUGCAAGCGUAUCUCUGUCGAGCUUAAUCAAGUUCAUGCAGGCUAAAAUCAAUACGAAUGGGUCAAAUAGGUCUAACAACCAAGGCUCACGUGCCCUCGGCAUAAUCUGAUGCAAGAAGUAAAGAUCUGGGUCCACCAUCAGCUCCGACGGCAUCCAACUGUACGAAACAACCUAACUCUGCUGUAAAAAUAGGCUCUGCACCUCACCACGAGCGUAAUCUCAACUACACUAAACUAAGUAUUUACCUCGUACUAAUAGCGGGGAUACAAGAGUAAAAACAUCUCCCAAAGCUAAAUCUGUUAACAUUCUCGAAAAGUGACAUUUGUAGUUUUAAUAAGUUUUCUCCUAAGUCAAGUCCCAAUUCAGCAUGUAAAAAUUUAUCUAAAAUUAUUAAUCAUACUCCAAAUUCAGAUUUUAUUUAAAAACACGCAAAUCCUUAAAUUCGAGCUAACUGUGUGACACAUUAUUGUAGAUCACAAAUAUUUCCCCCAUAACUGAAAGGGCAAGUAUAAGAGCCAACAUCAGCCUCUGUUUCAACUCUUCGAAGCUUCUCUGGCAGUCCUCACUCUAAAUAAACUUGAUUUCCUUUCGAGUUAAUCGAGUGAGGGGUAUGGAAAGCUUCACAAAGCCUUUCACAUACCAACGAUAAUAUCCUACUAAUCCAAGAAAACUCCUGACCUCAGUAAUCGUCAUCGGUCUUGGCCAAUUCGGAAUCACAUUAAUGUUCUUCUAAUCAACUGCCACUCCAGCAACUAAAAUCACGUAGCCCAAGAAGAAAACCUCUUGAACCUAAAACACGCACUUUUUCAACUUGGCAUACAACUUCUUCUCUCUCAGUAGCUGUAAUACAAUCCUCAAGUGCUCCUCGUGCUCCGCAUCAAUCUAGGAGUAAAUCAGGAUAUGAUCAAUAAACACCACUACAAAUCUAUCUAGGAACAACUUAAAUACUCGAUUCAUUAAAUCCAUUAAAGACGGCAGAGGCAUUGGUUAAUCCAAAAGACAUCACUGUAAACUCAAAAUGCCCUUACCGUAUCCGAAAGGUCGUCUUGGGAAUGUACUCGACUAUCACCUUCAAUUGGUGGUAACCCGACUGCAAAUUAAUCUUCGAAAAAAUACAAGAUCAUUGCAGCUGAUCAAAAAGAUCAUCGAUGCGCAGUAAAGGAUACUUGUUCUUGAUAGUCACUUCAUUCAACUCUUGAUAAUCUACACGAAGUCUAAUUGAAACAUCCUUCUUCUUCACAAAUGACACUGGCGCUCCCAAAGGAGACACACUGCAUGGGUCUCAUAAAUUCUUUUUCCAUCAGAUCCUGGAACAGUGCCUUAAGUUCUCUCAGCUCAGCCGGUGCCAUUCGGUACGGUGCCUUUGAAAUUGGCGCAGUUUCUAAAACCACGUCAAUCACAAAUUCAAUCUCCCUGUUCGGCGGCAUAGUCAUUAACUCAAGGGAAAACACAUUUGGGAACUCACGAACUAUGGGAAUAUCCUCGAGUCCUGGUGUCGCCGUGGGCACCUCUACAACAGUCGCCAGAAACACAAUACAUCCUUGAUUCAUCAUCUGUCUUGCCAUCGCUGAUGAAAUCUAGGUGGCAAAUUGCAUACUCCUGCAACCCCUAUAAACAAACUCCUCCUGGCCUGGCUCGCGGAAUGUCACCGUCCUAGCUCCACAAUCAAUCGUCGCAAAAUAGCGCGUCAGCCAAUCCAUAUCGAGAACUACAUCAAAAUCCUAUAGCUAUCCUAAGACCAAUAGGUCUGCAGGCAUAAUCCAAGGUCCCAACUGCACUAGACAUGUCAUACCCUGAAUUCUCCAGAUCCGAGAGUUGCACUUCGUCCAGAAUCGACUAAUGGUCGAUUGGAUAAGCUUUGGAAAAGCUUAGGAUGCACAAAAUCCAAGAAGUGCAUUGGAAUGGAGUCCGCGAGGGCAAAUCAUGCAAAUUGCAUUAUUGGGCUGAAGUUGCCCUCGGGGACUGGUCUCUGGUUGGAGAGACCGGUCCCAUCAGCUGAAGGCUGCGGGGUCGCUGAUGCAACCGGUCCCUGGCAGGGGAGGGACCGGUCCCAGCCUGCGACACUAGUGAGAAGAGCCAGAAAUUGGCUAAGUCCCGCGAGAUGAGCUCUCGGGGACCGGUCUCUGGUGGGCGGACUGGUCUCCCGAGGACCGGUCUCUCAGGGAGAGACCGGUUCCCGAACGCGUGGAAUCGGGGAGAGCUCUCGGGGACCGGUCCCUGGUCGAGGAGACCGGUCCCUCAGCGUGCAGAAUCCCCAGUGAGGGCUGUGUAAGAGGUGAAAAGUGGAGGGACCUUUGGGGAUAUUGUUACAAAAUGAGAUAGGGUAUUAGAGAGACCUUUUCCUUUCUCUCUCUCUCACUCCCUCAGCCUCUCUCUUUCUCUCCGGUCGUGCAAGGGAGGAGAAGAAGAAAAGAAGGAAAAGAGAGAAAGAAAAGAGAAGAAGAAAAAGAGAAAGGAAAGGAGAAGAAGAAGAGGACCAAGGAGGAGAUCCUCUUCCUCAUCUUCAUCUUCAUCUUCCUCUCCCCUUGGAGCUCUUGGAGAGGUAAACUUCCAAGCCCUCUCAUGGUAGAUCUCUUGUGAUGGGUUUUUAAACCCUAGAAAUGGUAUUUUUAGUACCCUAGCAUGCUAUCUAGAUGGAUUGAACCCAAAUCAUAGAUCGAUUCGGUGGAUUUGGUAGUAUUGGCAUCUAGGGCAUCCAAAAUGGGGUUUUGUGAUUUGGGAGGGUUUGAUCUCAUUUGACCCUUCGUAAACCUAAUUGAUAGGUAACGAAACGCGUUGGCGGAGUCGGUUCGGCAAUCCGACAAGCUGUUGCGAAAAUAUUGAAGAAACGGGCGCUCGGAGCUUCUUUUCCGCCUGGGAGGCCGAGGCGGCGUCCAUAAAUCGUGAGAUCGGGUCCCGAGCACCGUAGCAGCAAGGCGAAGAUCGCUAGCACUUAAAUCGGUGAAGCGGCGCGCUCGUGGGGAGCAACUCUGAGAUCGGGCCCAAAUGGGUGCCAAGUGCCGCGGGAGGCCAAUUGCAAGUGUCGACGAGCAAUCGGAAAGCUAACUAAGGUGGGUUGUGCUUACCGAAGCGACUAGGUCACCCUUUAUGUCUUAGCAAUGUAAUCUCAUAUUGAUGCAUGUGCAUGUAGACAAGACUAAAUGGUGCAUUAAUAAAUAUGCAUAAAGUAAAGGCUAAGUAAAGAAUGCAUACUAAUAAUAAUGCAUAAAUAGAAAUGCUAAAUAGAAUGCAUGGUGGGUAAAGAUGCAUAGAGUAAUUGCUAAGUAGAAAGCAUGAGAUAAUAACUCUAGUGUGAGUAAAGUUGGUUGGACAACUAGGUUGUCAGAUAGAUCGAGUGGCAUCUAACCUAGUGUUAAAAAACAUAGGUUAAACAAGUGAACCUAGAGUCGAACAAUCUAAGUGUAUGUGGCAUCGAACCUAGUAUUAGUAAACCUAGGUCAAACUAGUGAACCUAGAAAUGGACAUCUAGGCAAAGAGGACAAGAACCUUGUCACGCCCCGGGACCGGCGGAGGCCCUCCCAGUAGCGUGCCCAGACCUGCCAUAUGUCAACACAUAUAAGGCGUCUACAAUAAAAGCGGAAGUAAAAGCAAGUAAUAGAACAAAUAGAACAGUAACAACUAAUGAUAUCAGAGCGAGCAAAGUUCUACCAUAUAAACCAGAGUAAAGGAAAUAUACCAAGACGAAGAAAGUAAAACGUAAGGUGAUACAAAACUAACUCCUCAAAAGAAAUACCAAGAUCCAAAAGAAAGGUGGUCUCUAUACAAAUACAGGUACAACUCUCAACCUCUCACAAAAUAAAACAUCGAGAGGUAGACCUCCUAAACUCGUCUCUCGCUGAAGAGCUAACUCGAAGCGACGCCCUCCCCCCGGUCCCUAGCCUCUCCCGGCGUGGAAGGCUCUGAAAGAAAACAUAAAACAGAGGGCGUGAGAACUAUAAUUUAUAGUUCCCAGUGGGCAAUUACUGACCUCAGCUCAUUGCACCACUAGGCCC
RNAcentral lists this long non-coding RNA (67983 nucleotides) under Ananas comosus (pineapple). RNAcentral's name for it is "long non-coding RNA (ACOM_LNC015098)". Lineage: Eukaryota; Viridiplantae; Streptophyta; Magnoliopsida; Poales; Bromeliaceae. The record is from RNAcentral.